This 53577-nucleotide long non-coding RNA is filed under the name Gossypium barbadense (sea-island cotton). RNAcentral's name for it is "long non-coding RNA (GBAR_LNC019311)". The record is from RNAcentral. Lineage: Eukaryota; Viridiplantae; Streptophyta; Magnoliopsida; Malvales; Malvaceae.
UUUUUUUUUUUAACUUGAUGCUUCUUUUUUUUGUAUAUUUUCGCGUGUGUCUAAAAACACAUGGUAGCUGUUAUGGCUUUUAUAGCCAAUUUACAACAUUGUAUGUUACUAUUCUUUUAUAUUUUCUUUAUUGUUUCCACUGCUUUGCGUGUUUGCAUUCGUUGUCCUUGUUCUUCCUUUUUUGUAGGUGUCCCUUGAAAGUCAACGACGGGGCAAGGAACUUACCUUGCCAUUUUGGUGAAAUGGUGACAGGGGCAGACCUCCGGACGAGAGGCUUCGGGCGACAUGCCUGCAAAGGUGGUGCGGCGCCAAGCUAGGGUUUUUUUACUGAAAAGCAGUUUAGAUUGUUUGGCCACCAAGCCCCUAGGUUUUUUCAUUUGGGUUUUUGGGCCUUGUAAAUGGAUUGGCAUAUUUUAACUGGACUUGGGUUUUAUUAUUUAUUUUUGGUUUUUAUUUUUUUGUUUAUUUAUUUCUGAUUUUGGGCUGGAUAAAAUUAGGCCUUUACAACGUGGUUAUAUAUAAUUGGGAUGCUCUAAGAGUCCUAAAGUUUAACUCAUGACUUCCCAUUUCUUUUGGGUUUGCUUUGAUUUUUGGUUUACAUUAUAAGAUAGUGAUCAAAUUUUAUUUUUGACCCCUAUACUAUCCUAUAACUUGAUAUUUGAUUUAUAUACUUUAAUUUUUUUUAUAAUUUGGUCCAUCUAUUUUUAUAAUGUCAUUAAUUGCUCUAAAUAGUUAAUAUUGUUAACUAUUUUAAUCAAAACGCUAACUUCAAUUUUUCUUAAGAAUACUAUUCCAAAAAAAAAUUAUCAUGACGAAUUUGAAUGAAUAUUUUUAAGAAAAAAUUCACAACAAUAUUUUCAAUGUUAUUUUUAUUGCAACAUAAAUAUCAAGUGAAUAUUUUUUUUAUUUAAAAUUUUAAACCAAUGAAUUUAAUAGAAAGAUUUUAAACCAAAAAAUUAUUUUAUCAUGAUGAAUUUGAAUAGUAAUUUUUAAGCAAAAAAAUUCACAAUAAUAUUUUUAUUGUUAUUUUUAUUAUUUCUUAAAUAUUAAAUAAAUAUUUUUAUUAUUUUAAAAUAUCACGUCCAUAAAUUUAAUAGAAAUAUUCUAACAAUAAUUUCCACUCUAAAUCUAAACUUUUAAAUCCAAACAGUAAAAAACCUAAAAUCUUAAAAAUAAUACUUAAAACCUAUUCAACCCGUUUAUAAUUUAUCACAAAAAAUGAGUAGACAAAGCUCCAUUUUAUACCAUUUGGAAGAACACAAAUAACAAAAAAAAAAGUUGUUACAAAAAUCUGGACGAAUAUGCAGAAAAUAAGAUUAAACCUUGGAGUUUAUCCAUUUAUAAAUGGCGCAACACUGACAGCCAUAAAAAGGGGAAUUAUAUAAUAUUAUAUGAAGAAAAGUGGAAAGGGAGUUUGGCGCUGCAAUGAUAAGCACAGUUUGUUUUGGGGAUGACAAAGAUAAGGUCUCUUUAUCUUUUCAAUUAUUCACUCAAUACUAUAUAUAGUGGCCAUGCAGAGAUACGAAGCAGAGCAGGGUAACUUACAAAAGUUGAACACAUGGACGGUCUCAAUAAUCAAAAUUUCAUGAUUCUUCUGCCCAUACCAACCAAUCAUUUUCUCUCUAAUUUUUAAUUUAAUUUAAUUCAAUUCAUGGAAUUUGGAAUAAAAUUAGAAAAAAGAACCAGAAAUGAGAUUUGUAUAAGAUGCUCUUUUGGUUGGCAAAACCCAAGCUCAUAGCUGUAUUUGUGCUUAUUUUAACUUAUAUUUGAAUUAUUUAUGAGUUUUGGGAAUCUCCAAAAUUGAUCGAACAUUCACUUCAUUUGGGAGAAGAACUAAAACACCAAUAAUACAUUGAUUCCAAAAAUAUGAUUAUUAGGAAUAUAAUAUUACUAUGUUUGCUAUAAUUAGAAAUGUACUAAUUAAAACUAUGAGAAAGUCAUAUUGAUAUAUUUGGUUUAUUUAGGACUUUACUAGUAACAUGAUGGUAAAUUUUGAAAUUAUAUGCAAAUUUUAAAAUAAAAAUAAAUUAAUAUAUGAUAAUUUUUUAAUUUAAUAUAUAUUUAAUUAUUAUAUAAUUUAAAAUUUAACUUGAUAGUAUUUGAAAUAAAUUUAGAGUUAAAUAAUUUUUAUGAUUUUGUAAAGGAAAAAUAUAUACAAAUAAAGAAAAUAAAGAAAAAAAAAAAGAGCAACUUUGUCUGGAUGUAACUUUCUAACUAUAUGGAAAAUUACCUUCCCAUUAUUACUUAAAGGAAUCACAUUUUCAUGGUUGGUCACUAGGACAUCAAACUUGGUGAACUCUAUUGGUAAGUGAUGUGAGCAUGGGUACGCAUUUAGGACCAAACAUGAAGGUUUCAUUACUUGGAGAUGUGUUUCAUGUACCUACAGGGCCAAUUACAAGGGUAAGGGCUAGAAAACUUAAGGAGACGCUCAAUGCUCUUAUAUAAGUCAUUUGGGCUGAGUUGGAACAAUUUUCAUUGCAUUUUCGAGUUAACAUGGAACAUCAACCUUGCAACGUUUUAUUCGUUGCUCAAGAAGUACUUUUGUUGACCAUACAUCUUCCAUGAAGACCUUUCAUCUCCAAAUCAGAAUUCAAGGAUUCAAGCAUUCAUGGACGAAUUUAAUAGAGGAAGAAUUAAUGAUUCAAGCAUUCAUUGGUCAGGUUUAAUGGGAGGAAUUCUAAAAGGCUCAUUCAAGCAUCUUAGGUGACCAUUCGAUUAACCAAAGUCCUUGAUAAUUACCACAAUUCAAGAUGGAAGCUGAACAUGACUUUUGGAAAACAAGUGAUUUUUCAGCAACCUUGUGACCUUUGGAGAGAUUCUAUUUUAAUGCAUUUAUGCACAUUAAGUAAUCGUUUAGUAACUCCCAUGCACAAUCAUUUCCACCAUCAGAAAAAGGGGGUUGAAUAUGAAUUUUGAAGUUAUUCUUUGUUUAUUAAGUCUACAUGUAAGGUUGGGAGUUAUGUGACUUUUCGUGUACUACAUGCAUUCAUGCAUAAUUAAGGCUUUAAACUUCAUGGAUGGGUUGACUAUUCAUAUACCUAGAAUAGUCUAUAAAUAGUUGCUCAUUUUGUAAUUUGAAGAUUGAUGAAUCAAAAUACAUUUUGUGAGAUUUUCACUUGAGAACUUAUCAAGGCUUUUUCCAUGUAGAGUUCCUCUUUCAUUUCUUAUACAUUCAGUUCUUGAUUAUUUAUAAAUAAUGGGUCGGUGUCUGUUCAAAACUAAUUCUUAUUUUCAACGGGUCACGUUCCAAUAACGUUGGUUCUUUUCUCGUACAAGUCAUUGAUUCAAGAUCCCUAUCUUAUUUAUUUAGUUAUCAAGUACCUGUUUAAAAACGGUCAGACAUUCAAGAGACAUGUAAUUAUAAAAUGAUUACGAGCUCACAUCAGUAAGUCUCUCUCCUCUAUUAAUGUUGUACAAAUGUAUGAAUGAGUUGAACGGGGGUCAACCAAUGCAUAAAAAAAUUAGUCAAAUAAGGGAAGUAUACCCUGAUGACAUAAGCACAAUCUAGAGCUCGGGACUCAGGUCUAGAUGUAGCCUCCUUGGUAAUCCUUUGACUACCAUUUAUCUUACUACUAACUCCAAAGUUUUUACCCCUCUGAGUUGUAGAACUAGGUUUUGCAAACUGAAUAGUAGUGCCCUCGAUCCUCUUUGGACAAUCUUUAUACUAGUUGUCUUGGGACCCACAUCGGAAGCAUGCCCCAAAAACAUUCAAACAAACUCCGAUGUGAUUCUUGUUGUAGUGAUCACAUGAUGGAAUUGAUGCUUUUCCCGAUCCACCAGUAUUAGCUAUCGAAAUAGUUUAUUGGUUUUGUCUACCUUGUUUCUUGCCUCUAUGCCCAUGAGAUCAUGUAGGAGAAAAGAAACGGUCUCGUGAUUCUCUAUCUCUCUUGGUUGAUAAUGGUGAAAAUGAACAAAGGUGAAGCCAGGGGUUGGCAGUAGCCUUGGCUUCCUUAAAAAUGAAAAAAAAUUAAUUUAGUCCCUUUAAAAUUAUUAAAAUUACAAGUAAAUCUAUUGUGAAAUUAUACUUUGACCCCUAAAAAUAUGAAAAAGAAAUUUUUGUUUAGUCUCUUUAAAAGUAAAAGAAUUAUAUAUUAAUAUAUGAUAAAAUUUCAUUUUGAAUUUUCAAGUAUUUUAUAAUUCGGUUCGCCCCCUAAAAAAAUUUUUAGCUUCACCUCCUGCAAUGAAUUCAUAGUCAUUCUCUUUCCAUGAUUUUUUUAUUCACCUUUUUCUUCUUAGCAACCAUUUUCUCCAUUUUCUAAGCUCUUUCAGAUAAUAACAAAAACUCACUUAUCUUAAGAGUCCCUACAAGUAGCUUGAUGUCUUCAUUAAGGCAUCACUUGACCCUUGUACAGAUUUCCACCUUAGUUGCCGCAAGCUCAUUUUCAUAAUAACAUAAUUAACUAGAUUAUAGAAGGUAACUCAUUAAGGCUUACUCAAACCUUAUACACAUUUCCUUGAUGUCUCCAUUUUUUAACCUUGUACACAUUAAGGCCCCACUCGAACCUUGUACACAUGUCUUCAGACAAAAGAACUCUCUCUUUCAUACUCAACAACUAUCAUACUGUCUUGCUUCAAAUAAAGAGACUCUCUCUUCUUCUCUUCCAAGUAUAACAGAUUGAUGUACUUCAUCCAGUAUUCAGUUAGAAAAAAGUUCCAGUUCACCCUCUUGAUAAGAGUUACACUUAUCGCUGUAACUUACCAUUGAUUGGCCCUAUUAUUCAAAAGACAGAUGGCACACCACAACUUUUCUUCGGAUGUGCAUUGGAGUUCCUUAAAAACUCUUUAGACAUUCUUUAAUCAAUAUUCUGCCACAAAUAAAUCAUUAAUUUUCUUGCCCCUGAGCUCUUCAACCCCAUACUUUCGAAGAUUAUCUAAAGAAAAAAGAAAUGUGAAAAUCAUUCAAGUGCAUGAAUAAACACACAUUCAAGCUCAUAAAUUAUAAUGGAAAAUCAAUAAACCAAUUAGUUAUAGUGCAUGCAUGCACCUCAAAGAUUUAAUCAUUCAACCAUGGCCCCAAGGACAACCAAAAAAUAAUCUUUAAAUUAUAUCCUCUAACAAAAUAGUAAUAACAUCCAACUUCAAUGUCCCCAAUUAAUAUGAAACUAAUAUAUAUAUAUACAAUAUGAAUAAACCCCUAAGUACAUGCCAUUAAAAAGCCACUUCUACAUGUAUUUAAGUUUCACGCUCUUCAAUGCCUUAGAAUAGUGAUAUGAUCCAAAGAGUUGAGUUGGCUUUACGAUCUCUACUCAAAAUCUAUACACAAGAAUAUAGUGGUGUGUUAUGUAUAAAUGAUUUAGUAAAAACUCAUGGAAAUGAACUCACUUACCUUCUUACCAAGUGUGAGACUUGAGUAAUAGAAGUAAAUUAAUUAAUAUAACAUUAAUAAGUGAUACAAUUAGUCAAGCAUACUUAGUCAUAUGCACACACACGCGCACGCACGCACGCACACGCACACGCACACAUUAGAGUUCUAAUCAUACUGAAAUAUCCCUGGAAUAAUCAGAGUCCAACUAAGAGAAGUAGUCCUGCUUGAAGUAUAAAAUGUGGCUGCCAAAUAGGAGAACACGCUGUGACAUGGCAUAUCGCCUCAUCACGACAUUGUCUAUGCUUUGUCGUUUCAACAUUGUCGCAUCGUCUCGACGCCCUGAUGCUUCUCGUCGUGAUGUUAGACCUAUUUUGGGCCUUCUUCGAUUGCUUGUCAAAACAUCUUUCAAAGUACCUUCAAAACAUCCGAUAAAUGCAAGGCACACCCAACAAAUCUCCACUUUGACACGUAUUUAUCACGUCUCCUUUUCCAUGCCCUAUCACAGGCCUAACUCGAAUUUGGAAAAAUAUCAAACAAGCUCAAGUAGUCUCGAACUUGUAAAUUGAAUGACUCAUAGUCUUCAAAUCAAAGUUGUAUAACACAACAAGGGACAAUUACACUUGAAUAGAAGAAAAAAGCAUCAACUCUCUUCACCUGACUAUAACCUUCUGCGACCAACCUUGCCUUAAACAUUCAGUGAACCAUUCAAGUCCAAAAGACCAAAAGGAGGUUAGGUUCUUCUCUAAAUCAGGAACAUGCCUGACAUCUGACACAACUCCACCUUCAACCAGAUUAUAUGGAGAGCAACGAAUCAUUACCCUUGUCCUCAGCCAUAUUAGCUAUCUCCGUAAUUAUCCGGAAUUGCCAGAAACUAAAAUUUGUGAUCUGUCAAACUUCUCGAUAUCCAAAAUCAUUGUUGCGUCACCGAACGAGUCGAUCUGCAGAAGUUAAACCUUGGUUCUGAUACCAAUUUGUUGGGGAUCGACCUAUAUAAACAACGAGCUAGUAAAUGUAGAGAAGAUCAAACACAUAUAUUUUACAUGGAAAACCCUCCGAAGAGGAUAAAAAAAACCACGAGUAAAGGAGGCUUCGACUUUUUACUAAAUUAGUAAACAAACGAGAGUAUAAUAUAGAGAAAAUAAACCUAAAAGUAUUAAAUGUACAAUCCCAAACCUCAAAAACAAAGUCCUAAUUCAGGAACAAAUUUCUCUCCAUAGUUACCAUGGAACUCUCACCAAAACUCAUAUAUGACUACAUCUUGUCGCCCUCAAGAAAAACCCUUGCUGAUUGGUAUCUCAAAACAUGGAUACAAUAACCCUUUUAAAUAUGCUAAGAUUAGAGUUCUAAUCAUACUAAAAUAUCCAUAGAAUAAUCAGAGUCCAACUAGGAGAAGUAGUCUUGCUUGAAGUCUAAAAUGCGACUGCCAAAUAAGAGAAAACAUCGUGAUGUGGCAUAUUGCCUGGUCGCGACACUGUCUCUGCUUUGUCGUUUCAACGUUGUCACGCCGUCCCGACGUCCCAGUGCUCCUCUUCGUGACGUUAAGUCUAUUUUGCGCCUUCUUUGAUUGCUCAUCAAAACGUCUUUCUAAGUGCCUGCAAAACAUCUGAUAAAUGCGAGGCACAUCCCAUAGUUUCUUAUAGGCUUUCACUACAAGUAAGAGGAAAAUCCACUUUGUUAACUAGGAUACUAUGUGUAAGCUGAAGGAGAUAUGGGGUUUAGAUCCAUGUGUGACUAGAAUUUAAUUCUUUGUGCAAAACUUGGAUGGAGAUUAUUGACUAAAAAAGAUAAAUUAUGGGCAAGUAUUAUAUGGUAAAUACCUUAACAAUACCAACUUACUCGAUGCUCCAAGAAAUGGUGGUAGUGAAGAUGGUUAGAGAAGUAUCCUUGCAGGCAAAUAUAUCCUUGAUAAAGGGUUAUGUUGGAGGGUGGGCGAUGUAAGUCUAAUUAGAUUACAAACUAACAACUGGAUGUCUGAUAGAAAUAUAGUUCAUAAAUGCAUCCAAAAUCCUUCACAGGAGUAGUUGCAAUUGUUCAGUAAGGAGUAUAGGGAGCAGGAGGUUGAAACUAUUAGGCUUUAUCACCUUUUUUUCUAGAGGAAAUUAUUGGAAAAAAGAACAUGGUAUUUCCUUUCUUGAUGAAUUACUGUGCUAAUGAUGAAUUUAUUUUGGGGGAAACUUCUAAUGGCAUCUUUUUAAUUAAGUCAGCUUAUGAGAUUCAAGUGAAUAGAAAAAGAUUUGCUUAGCUUGAUGGCAAAGCUAAUAUGGAAAGUUCUUUAACAUUCGAAGAUCCAAACUUCUAUUUGGUUAACUUGGAAAAGUAGAAUUACGAGUAAUUCAAAUAGAAAGAUAAGGUAACUUAUCAUGAUUGAUUCGUGGGAAAAUAUUGUGUGAUCUAUUUUUUCCUUAAAUUAUGGAACAUUAACUAUGCUUAAUUUGAGUAGUAUUGAUGGCAUAGAUUGAAGUACAUAAUUUUUAUAUACUUAGGUUGAAGUUUCAUCAUGCACAAUUGUUAUGUGUAGAUCUUCAAUUCCACUAUAUACUAUUGCUAUGUGUUAAUUUUAGUUUAAUAUGUUUAUAUUUUUUAUUGAUUUUGAUUAUGCUUUAUUAUGGAUAUAUUUAUAAACUCUAAAAUAACUAUACCCAAUUUAGUUUAUAAAAAAACAAAGCUGAAAUUGGGAAAUAAAAAUACAAGAUAAAUUUCAUUUUGAGGAUGGUACAACUUUUGCUUUAUUACCUUAUUUUUGUUUGAUUAGUUGUCUUUAUUUUGGGCAUAAUUUCUUUGCUUUUUUUUUUUUUUCAAAUUUAUAAACCCAAUAAUUGUGGGAUCAAUCAUAAAAAUUCACCAUGGAUCUCAAUCCAAUUCACUUUAAGUAAAAAUCCAAUUAUUUAUUAAUAAAAAGAAACCUAUUCACUUUAACAUAAUUCACUCCAAUUAUUAAUAAUAAUAAAAACGAAUAGACCAAAAUGACAUGACAAUAUACAAUAAUUUUCUGGAUGAUGAGUAAAACAAAGUUUUUAUAUAUAUUUCGAAACAUUGAAACGUUAAAUUAAUGGUGAAAAUUAUUUUUUAUGGACAAAUUAUAAAAAAAGUUACUCAAUUAUACCUUUCGUUUUAUUUUGGCCACCUAAUUAUUAAUUUUUUCGAUUUAAUCACUAAAUUUUUCGAAAUUAAAUAUUUUAAUUGCUUUGAGUUGAUGUGGGCUUUUCUUUAUUAGUCUAGUAACAAAUUUAACCCUCUAAUGUUUACAUAUUCUAUCAAAUUGAUCCUAAAUAUAAAAACUUCAAUAAAUUUAGUCCUCAAUGUUUACAAAUUUUGUCAUUUUAGUUGUAAUUCUAAAAAAAUUCAAUAAAUUUGGCCCUUAGUAUUUACAAAAUUUUUCAAUUUAGUCCUAACUCUAAAAUUUAAAAAAAUAUUUAAAAAUGUUUUCAUUUUUAGUCCUUUAUAACCCAACUCACCCAUGUGAGAUAUUAAAAUAAGAAAAGAAAAACCCCUUUUUCAAGUCACUUGCAACAAUUUCUUAUACUAUAAUUUAGGCUUCACAUUGGACCAAACCAAUUGAUUUGGAACCUAUCUAGAAUAACUGGUUGCAUUACUACUCAAAUAGGUAACGUUUUUAAUGCCAUUGUUUUUUGUCGGAUCUUAAAUUUUUGUGUUUUGUCCCAACUUUUUAGAGUUAUUUUGUAAGUGACUUGAAAGAGGGUACUCUUUUUCUUAUUUUAAUAUCUCACAUGGAUUAGUCAAUAGGUUAUAAAAGGCUAAAAAUGAUUUUUUAAAAAUUUCUUUUUUAAUUUUUAGAGUUAGGACUAAAUUGACAGGUUUUGUAAAUGUUAAUGGCCAAAAUUAUUGAAUUUUUAAAAAAUUAGAACUAAAAUGAUAAAUUUUGUAAACGUUGAGGGUUAAAUUUGUUGAAUUUUUUAUAUUCAGGAUCAAAUUGAUAGAAUUUGUAAAUAUUAGAAGGCUAAAUUUGUUAUUAAACUAAUAAAAAAGAGCUCACAUCGGCCUAAUGUAACUAAAAUAUUUAAUUUCGAAAAGUUUAAUGACUAAAUCAAAAAAAUUAAUAGUUGAUGACUAUUUUUAUAGUUUACUCAUAAAAAAAUAAUUUUCCGUAUGAAUUUGACAUUCCAAAUCCAUUUAACAAAUAAAUUUUAAUAGAAGGACUAAUUGACACGUUUCAAAAUGUAUAAAGAUUAAUUACUCAAUUUUUCGGUAAAAGGGCCGAAAUACAAUCCAGACAUAAAUACAAGAACUACCCUAGUACUUUCACUCAUCAUCCCAACAAUUAUUCAGAAAGAGGUGAAGGAAUCAUGGCGUAUGAAUAAGAAGAAUAAAACAACAUGAGGAAUAGUUAAAAACUUUAGAAAAUUGUAGAAAUUGCUGCUGUUGGGAGGAGAAUAGGGAUGGGAUGGGAUGGGAUGGGAUGGCAGUGAAUCAUGUGUUCCUAAUCUAUGUAAAAUUUGAGUUUAUUUAUUAUUAUUCAUAUUACAUUAAAUUAAAAAUACAAAAGAUUCAUAUAAUGAAUAUUUGAAUAUCACAAAUGUCUGAAUUGACCUUAUCUAUCGUCAUUCUUAGCUGAGUAAGAAGAAAUAUGAUCUUGAAUGGAAAAAUGUUACUUGUUUGACUAUCGGAGCCAGCGCAAUUUCCGAGAGUCAUUUCCAAAAACAGGAAAAGUUUUUGACAAUGGAGGGGUGAUGAUGAGUCAGCAAUGGAAGUGGAUAAAGCCCCGUUAGUGAUGGGACGAAACCAAGUAAGAACACGUGGCCUGAUGGGAGAGGUGGGCCCGAGGAAGCGACGAAACAUCGCCGUUUGAAAGGUGCCCCAGACAUUUUGCAACUAUUUAUCGGUUGUGAUGGAUAUUUGAAAACACAACAACGUGUUUGCCUUCCCCCUUUUACACUCCCCCACUCUUUCCUCUCCUCUUUACUUCCCCCUUCACAUAUAUCUUCCUUUUCAUCUUCUUCCUCUUUCUUUUUCUUCAAAUACUGCCCUCUAAUUUUCUCUACUUCUUGUUAAAAAGAAAGGUGUUUUGGGAGUGUUUAAUUAUUGAAACAAAAUGUGUGGGAUUUUAGCUGUUUUGGGUUGUUCUGAUGAUUCUCAGGCAAAAAGGGUUCGAGUGCUGGAACUUUCCCGCAGGCAAUUCAUCUUUCUUUUUUCUUUUUUGCUAAUUUUGAUGUUUGUGUCUUUAAAAUGGUUGCAUAACAUUUCUCCAAUAGGUUUAGACAAUGACAAAGUGUUUUUAUGGUUUGUUGCUGUCAAAGAUCAGCGAAAAAAAAAGACAGGGUUCGCGUGAAAUUUAACAACCUUAAAACUUGGUCUUGAAUUCUUGGUCAUCUUUAAGCUAUAUCGGGUGUUUUGAAGCAGAGAUACUCUGCAACUUGAGAACGAUAUAAAGGGACAUAAGCAAAAAAAAGUGGCAGAGUCCAUGUUUCAAGAUGCUAGUUCAAGCAGCUCAUGAACAUAAAAGACUAAUAAAUUGAAUUGAAUUUAUUGGUUAAUGAGUUAGUGAUUGUCCACGUUGAUGAUGGUUUACCAACAGGCUCAAGCACCGUGGUCCUGACUGGAGUGGCCUCUACCAACAUGGAGACUGUUAUUUGGCCCAUCAACGCCUCGCCAUCAUUGAUCCUGCUUCUGGUGACCAACCUCUCUUUAAUGAAGACAAGUCUGUUGUUGUCACUGUAAGUCUCUCUCUCUUUGCUUCUUUUUAUUUAAUAUUUCUCCAGUUCCACCCUAUGGCCACUCAUUUAACUUUUUCAACACUUGAGGACUGCCUAAUUGGUCAAUUCUGUGCUGAAAACUAGGUGAAUGGAGAGAUUUACAACCAUGAAGAACUGAGGAAGAAGUUGGCCAACCACAAGUUCAGGACUGGCAGUGACUGUGAUGUUAUUGCCCAUCUGGUGAGUCUCCAUGGAUAGAGCUAAUUUUUUUGGUCUGAAGUUUCUAUUUUGUUUUGUGAAUGAUUGCCUAAUAAGUACUUGACCUAUAUGAUAGUAUGAGGAGUAUGGUGAAGACUUUGUGGAUAUGUUGGAUGGAAUCUUCUCAUUUGUGCUGCUGGAUACCCGUGACAACAGCUUCAUCGUUGCACGCGAUGCUAUCGGUGUCACCUCCCUCUAUAUUGGCUGGGGACUUGAUGGUAUUAAAUCUAGGUUUUUUUUUCUCAGUUGCAAGUAAUUUGGGUUGAAACUGGUUUUUGCUAAUUUAAUUUCUACUUCUUAUAACCAGGUUCGGUUUGGAUAUCGUCGGAAUUGAAAGGGUUGAAUGAUGACUGUGAACACUUUGAAAGCUUUCCCCCUGGUCACUUGUACUCUAGCAAAUCAGGAGGAUUUAGAAGGUGGUACAAUCCACCUUGGUUCUCUGAGGCCAUUCCAUCGGUUCCAUAUGAUCCCCUAGUACUUAGACGUGCCUUUGAAAAUGUAAAACUGAUUACUUGCCGCCCAAGAAGCACUUUAUGCUUUUGGACUAAAGAAAUAAAUAUAUUUUUUCUGUAGUUUUGGCUUACGGGUUGUAUCAAAUAUGUUUACUGGCGGUGACCAAAAGACUGAUGACUGAUGUGCCUUUCGGAGUUUUGCUAUCUGGAGGACUUGAUUCAUCAUUGGUUGCUUCUAUCACUGCUCGGUAUUUAGCUGGUACCAAGGCUGCCAAACAUUGGGGAGCUCAGCUCCAUUAUUUCUGCGUUGGCCUAGAGGUAAGUUGUAAAGUAUAAGGAUGAACCCUUAAAGCUCUAGAGGAUUUGAAUGAUUCUUAAAACUUGAUUGUCAAUUUCUCUGCAGGGUUCACCAGAUUUGAAGGCAGCAAGGGAGGUUGCAGACUAUCUGGGAACAGUCCAUCAUGAAUUUCAUUUCACUGUUCAAGUAUUGACUCGACAUUUUUGUAGCAGUUUCUAUUCAAGAAUUUAGGGUUUAAUAAACCUGUAACAAGCUAGACUGCUCUCUAAUGUGGCAGGACGGAAUCGAUGCCAUUGAAGAUGUCAUCUACCACAUCGAAACAUAUGAUGUCACCACGAUCAGGGCAAGCACUCCUAUGUUCCUGAUGUCAAGAAAGAUCAAGUCACUAGGUGUGAAGAUGGUUAUUUCUGGUGAAGGCUCCGAUGAGAUAUUUGGUGGAUACCUGUACUUCCACAAGGCACCAAAUAAGGAUGAAUUCCACCGGGAGACAUGCCGCAAGGUAAUAGAUCAUCUUAUUCAGCACUUCACUUAUGAGUAGGGGAGUUGGAACAUAAGGAUAUUAACGAAAACUGGUCUGUUCUGAUACCUUUUUAUGCAGAUCAAGGCCCUUCACCAAUAUGAUUGCCUGAGAGCUAACAAAGCAACAUCCGCAUGGGGAUUAGAGGCACGAGUCCCCUUCUUAGACAAAGAAUUUAUCAAUGUUGCCAUGUCUAUAGACCCUGAAGCGAAGAUGGUAUGUAAACAAGCAUCUUUUUUCUUAUUGUUCCUGGAAUUGCUUGGUUUAUUCAUUCAUGGUUGAGAUUUACAGACUUAUGACAAAUAGUUCUUUGUUUAUGAAUCAGAUAAAAAAUGAUGAAGGACGCAUCGAGAAGUGGGUUCUAAGAAGGGCAUUUGAUGACGAAGAACAUCCCUAUCUGCCAAAGGUCUUCUAACUUCAUUUCUUGUUUUUCAUUGUCAACUAUGAAGCUAAACUAACAUGUCCUAUAUGAUGCCCUGCAGCAUAUCCUCUACAGACAAAAAGAACAGUUCAGUGAUGGUGUUGGUUAUAGUUGGAUCGAUGGUCUCAAAGCCCAUACUGCCCGACAUGUAAAAUAUCUUUCUUAAGUGGGUUCUGUUAUAUGCGUUUGCUUAGUUUAUUGUUUAUAAUUUAACAAUUACAAUCUUUCAGGUGACCGAUAAGAUGAUGUCCAAUGCUUCAUUCAUAUUUCCUCACAACACACCAACUACAAAAGAAGCAUAUUACUACAGAAUGAUUUUCGAGAGGUUCUUCCCUCAGGUGAUUUUCUGAAUCUCGUAGUUUGAAUACGUUUACACUUCUAACUUUUUGUCAGCAGCAUUAAUUGCUAAAGUGACCAUCUUCCUUUGCUUGGUUUACCAGAACUCAGCUAGAUUGACUGUCCCUGGAGGAGCUAGUGUGGCAUGCAGAUCUGCUAAAGCUGUUGAGUGGGACACUGCCUGGAAAUACAACCUCGACCCUUCAGGCCGGGCUGAUUUGGGGGUUCAUCUCUCUGCUUACGACGCAGAGACUCCUCUCAGCAACAAGCCAUCCAAGGUUAUUGAUGGUAUACCACGGAUGAUGGCCUUUCCUGGAGUUGCCAUACAGAGUUAAUGCCUGCCUACUGGAAGACAACAGAAUGUAUGAAUUAUUUAAUAAAAUGAGUAGGAUCAAACUUCCGAAUGUGUUGGUGUAUAAUAUAGGCGAUGUUUACGAGUACUAAGAGAUACAGUGAUCGUCGGAUCAUCUUUGGUUGUCAUCAACCUGUUGUUUCUUUAAGCUAAGUGUGCAUUCAAUAUUUUUGUAGUGGAAGUUAAUUAUGAAUGAGAAUCUUCCCUUUUUUUGGUUUAAUGUGCAAAAAGCUUAAGUUCUUCCACUUUACAAAAAUCUUGCCCUCAAAAGGACUGUAAUGUUAGAUAACUUGGAACUAGGCAGUAAUUUGAGAUGAAACAUGUUGUCUUCUAGUUUAAUCGAGCAUUGAAUCAGUCUAAAUCUUGAAGAUAAUAUCAUAUUUGACUUGAAAGAACUAUAUAAUUAUAUCAUUUAUUAAGACACAAUAUUAGUACGGUAAAGUGCAGUUUCUGCACCCUCUGCAAGCCUAUAAUCAAAAUUAGUAACUAAUUAUAAAAUGAAUUAAAAGCACAUACAACUUAGUAGAACAAGACAGUAUAAAAGAGUUGAUUCCAAGUAUCAGGCAAUCCAAGGAGGCACCAAUCGCUACAUGAUAAGCUGUAAAAGGAACAUAUUUUAAUCUUAUUUUUAAUGCCUUUUUGAAUGAUUAAUGAUGUAAAUUAGUGAAUAUGAUGCUCCUAAUCCUUUACAUUCAUGUUUCUAUACUUAGAAUAGCUUUUGGGAGCGAAAGUGUAACACCCUAAACUCGGUCUAGACAUUAUGGCCGAAUCUAGUAAUGUUACGAAGAAGGGUUUUAAGAAUAAUGUCAUUUCGUCCAAGCUUUGUAAAGUGGUUCGAUAAAUCAUCCAAGUUUUAUGACUAUUAUUAAAAAUGUUAUUUAAUUAAACCAUUUGCCAAAACAUUGUUUACAACGGAAGUUUCAGAAACCGUUUAUAUUUUAGAAAUUCAGUUCGUAUUUUUGGAAAAACCUUUGUUUUCAUAAAACCGUGAUUUUAGUCAAAUGUCGUAAAUAAGGUUAAAGCACAUCCAAAACCAGAAUAAAAAUCUAACAGUCUAGAGAGUCCAAAAAUUACAAAACUCUCAGAAAAAUAAUACUUAAAAUAAAUAAAACCAAUAUUAAAAACAGUUCACAUCUUGUGGUCACCAUGAGGCUCCAUCGCACCGAUCAGCCUAAGUCUGUGGAUUGCCUGAACAGAACAGACAAACAAAAGUGAGUUUUCAUAAACUCAUGUGUAACCCAACAGAAAAAGACAUGCAAUACAUACAGAAAUCUCAAAUACAGUCAGAUACAGAAUCAAACUUAGGUCCAUUUCAGAUAAAGAUAAGAGAAUCAGAUAAAUAGGUCAGAUAUACAGAAUCCUACCUCUAUCCUCUACAGACCAACUUCGACCAUCCCAUCACACCAUGUAAGGUUAAAAACACCCACCCAUCCUUAUACACCAUGUAGUGCUGAUACGACACAUCAUAGAUAAUAUGCAGCCGAGUUGCCAGAAUAUAAGCGAAAGGUCACCGUACAAAUCACUUUCUCCACAUAUACAAUUCCCACCUCAAACAUAUAUACAGAAUGCAAAUACAAAAAUAUCAUGCUUAACAUGCUAGUAUAAAGAUAACAUAUAUAUUUAACAGAAUAAUCAAACAUGCAUAACGGUGUCCUUCUCAGAGCAGAUUAUCAAAAUAUCAGAUCACAUAACUUAGGGUUUGGUUAGCCCUUAUCGACCCUACGAUAGACCCACAGUUGAUUGAAACAACCCGUGCGACCCUAGGGAAAAUUUUAGAAUUAUAGACUCACAUGUCCGUGUGGCUCGCCGUGUAGCCUACACGGCCUGGCCCAAUACCCAUACCCCCAAUAUAGCCUAGCCCGUGUGUCCCACACGGCCAUAUUCACGCCAUCACACGGUUGUGCACUACGCACGGCCGUGCUUUAGUUAGACACACGGCCGUGUCUCGCACGCGGCCAACUACACGGCCAGGCACACGCCCGUGUGACGUCGACAGAAAGCUUUUUCAGCUUUUGUCGAAACCCAAUUUUUUGCGUUUUAGGAACACACCUGGUAUGGUUUUGAUGCUAAACCACUCCCGAGCCAACCUGCACCUAAAAUCGAUACAACACAACUUCUAAAAUCAGUCUAAACUUACAAUUCAACCAAACUAACGGAACUGAUAACGGUAAAACUCAAGUGUACAACGCUUACCCAAAUUCCUGAACGACUCUGACUAUGAUUCUGCGAGAAGAGAGUCUCGUUCUUCACGAUUCGCUGCUACCAAAAACAUAAUUUCAAUACCAACGGAAAACAACAUCGUUCAAAAUAGAUUUAAAGGAAAAAUCUUUCUAACUCGAGCAAAGCAUUCUAUCACCACUUACCAACUCACAAGAACACCGAAAAGUCGAAAUACCGAAAUUGAGCAAUUAAAUUGACAGCAAAAAGAAAAACGUAGAGAAAAGAGGAAAACCAACGUCAAAAUUUUAAAAGAAAGAAAGAGAACCGAAAUUUUUUUGAAAAAUAAAAAUAAAAUUAGAUAACCCCCAAAAUCCAAACUCCCCAUUAUCAUCUCAACCACAACUACUUACUCACUCAGACUCUCAAUCCCAUCCAAACUCUCUCCGCCAACAGAAGCAAAAAUUAAUACCCACGCUCACAUAGGAAUUUGAACACAAGACCUCCAAGACACCAACUCCUUACCCAUCGAUCCAGCAAGCUCAUUCUAAUAUGGAUUAACAAACAAUUCUAUAUAAACCCACACAACAAGGAUAAGGCUAGGAUUAGAAAAAUAACAAAAUUGCCAGAAGUGAGACUUGAACCCAAGACCUCACACACACAUCCAAAACACUUAACUACUGAAGUAGAUACACAUUUAUGUUAGGUACUUAUAGAAACAUAAGUAAAUUAUUCAGGACGUUACAGAAAGGAGCAAAAAAGGAGCCAAAAUCAGACGAAUAGAGUUGUUUCUAGAAUCCACACAGCCUAAAUAUUUCUACACAGGCUGGCCAAACGCCCGUGUGAGCCACACGGGCUGGCCACACGCCCGUGUGAGCCACACGGGCUGGCCACACGCCCGUGUGCCAGCCCGUGCAAAUAUCGCACCCUGCUUCCCAAAUAUGCUGAAAAACCUAAUUUUUAGGCUUUCUGAGCAUUCUGAAGUCUAUAAAUACCAAUUAAAAGAAGACCUAGGGGGCACUCAGAGAAGAUAAAAAAAAUACUCGAAGAACGCCAUUGAAAUAAACUCGGAAGCGGAUUUCCCUCAAGAUCGAAGAUCUCCAUUUAAUUUCUUUCGAAGUUUUAUUGAGUUUCUUUUUGUCUUAUGGUUAUCCUAACUUUGAGAUGUUUCUAUUCAGGAUUAUGAACUAAAUUCUCUAGAUACCUAGGGAGGAUGAAACCUAUGAUGAACCUUAUUGUUUAAUUUAUGUUUUUACGAAAUAAAUACUUGAUUCUUGUUCUCAAUUAUGUAUGCUUAUUUUGUAUUUUAAUAUUUUUAGGAUAUUAAUUCAUGUUUAAUAUGCUUAUUUCAGUAGAGCAAAAGUUCAUGUUUAAGAGUAGAUCUAGCGUAAUUGAUUGGAGUUGCAUGCAAUCCUAGAAAUAGGACAACAUAAAUCUAUCGGAUUAGAGUCAAAUCUAAUAAGGGAAUCCAUAGAUUGAGUUAAUGUGAUGAUAGGGGUUUUAAUUAGAAAGAGAUUUCAAAAAAUCAACCUAGAUUCAGUUGUUCUUACUCUCGAAAGAGAUAUUAACAUAAUUUAGAGAUUUCUAUAGAUCAAGACACAAGUGAAUAAAUCGUUUAAUUUAGAUAUAGAGUAAUAGGUGAAGUCUAGGUGAACUCUUUCCAGGGUAUUGUCUAUCUCAUUGGUUAUCUUUGAUUAUUUUCCUAUUCCAUUUCUGUUGUGUUCUUAGUUAAAUUAGAUUAGUAAAUUUAGAUUAAAAACAAUCACUCCAAUUUGUCAGCUAAAUAAUAGAAAAACGUUAAUUACUAGUACUUUUAGUCCUUGUGGAUACGAUAUUCCCUACUCACCAUAACUAUACUAUUGUUCGAUAGGUGCACUUGCCAUAGUCGUAUUUAUAGUUAGUUUAGUGACCAUCAAGUUUUUGGUGCCGUUGCCGGGGACUAAAAUAGUAUGAACACUUGAUUUUUAUUAAUUCAAACAUUUUUAUUUUUGUUUUUAUUUUUAUUUUUAUUUUUUGCAUUCUAAUUUUUCUUUUCUUUUAUUUGCUUCUGGUAAGUUCUUUUAGUUUAUGACUAGAAGAGACCCGUUGGGACCAUUAUUAAUUGACAGUGAGAUUGAAAGUACAGCUCGCAGAAAUCAUAGAGAAGCAAGGCAGAGUCGAUAGAGUAUAGUAGACGAGCAAGAGGACAUUAUUAUUAUUACUGAGGAGAUGGGUGAUAAUCAAAAUAAUCAGCUACCUCCUGCAGUUGCUGCAAAUCCAAAUCAUGUUCAUCAUACUAUGUACAAUUAUGCCAAGCCCACUCUAAUUGGGGAUGAAUCGAGUAUUGUGAGACCCACCAUUACUGCGAAUAAUUUUGAACUAAAGCCGAACACUAUUUAGAUGGUACAAUAAUUCGUUCAAUUCGAUGGUUUGCAAGACGAAAAUCUAAAUACUCAUUUGGCUAAUUUUCUGGAAGUCUGCGAUACUUUCAAGAUAAAUGGCGUUUUUGACGACGCCAUUCGCCUACGGUUAUUUCCUUUCUCAUUGAGGAACAAAACUAAAAAGUGGUUGAAUUUUUUACCACGAGGCUCUAUCACUACAUUGGAUUAAAUGAUCGAGAAAUUCCUACCGAAGUACUUUCUACCGGCUAAGACAGCUAAGUUGAGGAAUGAUAUCUCUUCCUUCGUUCAGAUUGACUUAAAGACCCUAUAUGAUGCAUGAGAGAGGUAUAAGGACUUAUUGAGAUGCGCCCUCACCAUGGGUUACCCCUAUGGCUUCAGGUUCAAACCUUCUACAACGGUUUGAAUCCCUCAACUAAGCAGUUAAUCGAUGCAGCAGCCGGUGGUACUCUGAACAAUAAAGCACCUGAAGUGACUUAUGAGUUUAUAGAGGAGAUGUCACUGAAUAAUUAUUAGUGGCAAGUCAUAAGGAGGGUUUUUUUACAGAAAUAGAUUAAAAAAAAUUAAUACUGAAAUAGGUUAUCAGAUAGAUAAUUUACGAAAAUGGCUUUUUUUUAAUGGAGCCUAUCUGACAGGCGCCAAUGAAUAUUUUAUAUUAAUUUUUUUGUUUGAACAAAAUAUUAUUUUUUUAUUUUUAUUAAAAAUAUUUAAAUAUAAAUAUGGGUCAAAAUACGGUCAACGAGUCAAAGUACGGAUAGAAAAUGAGUUUUCGGGUGGCACAUGUCAGAUAGGCGCCACUAAUUGGGCCUCAUAGGGAGGCGCCAAUAACCAUGGCAACAUUGCUGCCUACUGCCUAUCGCUGCAACACCAGCAUGGUGUUGUCCCUUCAACACUACCAUUUUGUGGCCUAUAAGUAUGGUCCCAAUAUGGUCCCCAAACCCCUUGCAUGAACGGUAGAGAGAAAGGAGAAGAAGAAGAAGAAAGAAACAAAGAAAGAAAGAAAGAAAGAAAAAAGGUAAUGUAUUAUUUUAGUAAAUAAUUUUGUUUAUAAUUUAAAGAGUUUAAUUAAGAUAUUGUGAUUUUUUUGUUAUUAAUUAUUAAUUAUAAAUUAUUUAUGUUUAGUGUUUAUAGUUUUGGAUUAGUAUUUUGUAUGAAUAUUGUAAUUUUUUUCUUUUUAUAAUUAUUUUAAAAUUAAUUUAUUAGUAAUUUAGGAUUAUGUUAUAAAUUUGUGUUUGUAAUUAUUUUAAAAUUAAUUUAUUAGUAAUUUAGGAUUAAGUUAUAAAUUAUUGUGUUUAGUUUAGUAUUUGGUGAGUUUAACAUAUAAGUUUAUAAAAAAAUUAAAAAUCAUUUUAUUAAAAGUUUAAUUAUAACUGACUCUUUUAAUCAUAUAGUUGUUGUUAACUCAUUUAAAUUUUAUAUAAUAUGAACAUAGUUGCUGUUAAGUCAUUUAUUUUUUUUAUAUCAACUUGGGGUCUUUUACCCCAAUAUAUUAAAGAAAAUUAAAUACCGAAAUAGGUUUCAGAUAGAUUAAUUAUCGAAAUGGUUUGUUUUUUGUAAUCGUGCCUAUCUGACUAGCGCGAAUCAAUUUUAAAAAAAAAUUUAAUCGCGCCUAUCUGACAGACGCGAAAAAAUAUUUGUUUUAAUCGCGCCUAUCUAACAGGCACGAAUCAAUUUUUUAUAUUAAAAAUAUUUUUUGUUUAAAUAAAAUAUUAAUUUUUUAUUUUUAUUAAAAAUAUUCAAAUAUAUAUAUAUACAGGUAAAAAUACGGUCAACGGGUAAAAAAUGGGUCGCGCCUGUCAGAUAGGAUUAAGUUAUAAAUUGUUGUGUUUAGUUUAGUAUUUGGUGAGUUUAACAUAUAAGUUUAUAAAAAAAUUAAAAAUCAUUUCAUUAAAAGUUUAAUUAUAACUGACUCUUUUAAUCAUAUAGUUGAUGUUAACUCAUUUAAUUUUUAUAUAAUGUAAUUUUUAAAUAAUGUAAUUUUAUUUGAUUUUUUGAAACAAAUUAAAUGAAUUCAUUUUUUUAAUUACAGAUUUAUAGGCAAUGGGUUCUUUGAUUAAUAAUAAUAAUCACAUAUCAAGUACUAUUAAUGAGAUGGUAAUAAAAUUUUUAUUUGAUACUCAUAUUAUUUGCUGAAUUAAAUUAUAUUGUAUUAACUAUUUUGCUAAUUUAAUAAUGUCAGGGCCCAUACGGCGUAUUGAGGGGCCGUGUUAAUAGUGUAGGGUUUCUGUCAGAUGAACGCCUAAUACCAUACUUAGAGUUAGCCGGGUUCGGAUCAGCAGCAUUGAUCCAGACUUUUGAUCUGCGAUACGACUUGAUUUCCGCUUUAGUCGAGUGAUGGCAUCCGGAGACCCACACAUUUCAUUUGCCGUGCGGAGAGUGUACCGUCACUCUAGAGGAUGUUGCACUACAGCUCGGGCUUCCCAUCGACGGGAAUGCGGUCAUGGGCGUAAGUUCAAUCUCUAGGCCGACUACCCUUUGCUUUGAAUUACUUGGACGCUCGCCAAGUGGGGAAAUUUACCAGUUUGAGAUUUUCAUGGCUAAAGGCCAAAUUUGAGCAUUUGCCGAGUACUGCCAAUGAAUGGGAGGUGAUGCAGGCCGUUCGAGCUUACAUUAUGCACAUUAUAGGGGGUGUACUCAUGCCGGAUGCAAACGGAAGUAAGGUCCACUUGAUGUACUUACCCCUAUUAUCCAAUUUGCAUAACACUCGUUCAUACAGUUGGGGGUCCACAGUUUUAGCCAUGCUGUAUUGCGAACUUUGUCGGACGACAGAUCCUUCUGUGAUGGACAUAGACGGAUGCCUCAUACUACUGCAGUCGUGGGCACUUUACCGGAUGCCAUUCUUGGCAUCCAUUAGUCACCAAUCAUAUAUAUUUCCACUCGUUAAUAGGUGAUGAAUUUUUACUCGUUAUAAUAAUUAGUUGACUUUUUUUUAGAUUAUAUUAUUCUAACAAUUUGUUUUCGUAGAUGGAAUACUAAUUUGGGUGUUGAGAGGUCAUACACGGUUCCGAUAUACCGUCUAAUGAUUGAGAAUCAUGCUGGAGAGGGGGUAAGUUUUCCAAUAUAAACUUAAUUUUAUUAUUUUAUCUCACUCGACCCGCGUAAAUAUAACAAUGUUAUUAACUGUGUAGUUCAUUUGGAUGCCGUAUUCUGUUCCAGAAAUUAUGGCAGUUAUCCCCUUAUCUGCCCAUGUCCACUCAAACCUAUGGUGCAUUAGCGCACUCCUUAUCAAUUUUCAGGUAGUGGAGUGGUAUCAUGGCAAUCGAGUACUCCUGCAGUUCGGUUGCAUACAGUAUAUCCCGACACUGCCAGUACAAUUGGGGGAGAUCCAUGGGAUGAACAAGAGGGGAAGGUAUGGAGAUAAUUUGGGAGAAGUGCAUGAAGAAUAUAUUAAGAUGUGGAACAACCGGUUGGGGAGGGUACCUCAGAUGGAUCGUGCUUUGGAUCUGCAGCCCUCAUUAGAGUACAUACAGUGGUACUGUGAGAUAAGGAAACCAUUUCUAUUUGGUGGGCAGUCGAUGGUAGUCCUUUCGCAUACGACACAAAUUAGGCAACCCCUUCUAGAUCCGCAUCAUGCACCAGACCCAGAGCCAGAGCCGGAGCUAAAGCUAGAGCCGGAGCCGGAGGCUAAGACGAAACUAUAUUCUAGGGAUAAUUCUUAUCAUCCAGAUUUAGGGGGCGAUGACUAUUUCGCGAGCUCGUACGAAUGAGGAGAACGUUGAUCAUCGUAAUCACCCGCAACGUGAACGUCGAGCUACACAAAAAUAUACCCCUAGAACCACACCGUCAAACCAUCAAUUUUAGGGGGUUUUGUAAUAUAAACAACUUCAUAUUUAUGUAAUGAAUUUUGUUGACAUUUUAUUUAUCAAUUUUAAUUUUUUUGCCUUUUAAUUUUAUUUAUCAAUUUAAUUUUAUUUAUCAAUUUAAUUUAUGUUGCCUUUGCAAUUUAAAUAGUCAACUAUGUAUUUAUAUAAUGACUUUUUUGCCUUUUUUGUAAAUAAAAUUUUAUGGUUUUUUUUAUUUUACAAUUUCAAGUUAGAUUAACUGCAAAAAAUUGUAGACAAAUUUGUGAUUCAAUCCUCUCAACAUGUAAUGAACUACAUAUCAAUUUCUACCCGAUUGAGACGAUUGUCCAACAUGGUAGUUUCGGAACGGGCAUUUACUCCGAUUAUGACCGGCUAAUCUGCAUACGCCACACAGCUUCCCGUCAAAUUUUUCCCUCACGUCCAUUUCGUUAUGGAUUCUGGAUGAUUGCGGACAACCUUUCGGGUUCCUACGCAACCUUUUUUCUGGAAAAAGCUCAAAGGUCGUCGGAGGUACCUCCCAAGUAGAUAGGUCAGGAAGCACGGGGAACUCAUUUUUCCAUACACGCAACGUGCGUUCGAUGGUGUACACUUCAUCGAUAAAUUAUUCUACAUUGAGCCCAACUUUAGCACAAGCUACCACGACAUGUGCACAUGCAUAAUGAAGUGUUUGAAACCUCCUGCAGUCACACCGUCUGUUUCAGAGAUCAACUCCGUAGGACCUAGGUGGUAUACUGGGUCGACGACCGAUGGUCUCUGUAACUCGAAACGUUUCAUUAUGUCAUGAAUAUACUUCUACUGUCAUCGACCUCACCAUAUGACGGUUUGCAACCAUUGCAGCCCUAACAUCUUCGACAAAGAGGUGUCCCGCCUCCAUUUGGUUGACUUGUUGCUGACCCAUUUUUAGCAUCAAGGUAGCCAACCUGUAAAACGUAGUCGAGAAGACAGAUGAAAUUGGAAGAUGCCGUGUUUUUAAUAACACAGCGUUGAUCCCCUCCAUAAAUUUUGUGGUCAUUUGACCAUAACGAAAGCCCUCGUCAAAACGUCGAGCCCAUUGCCAUGGCUCCAUGGUACCCAACCACUGCCGAAAAGAUGUGUUGGUUUGACCUUCCAUGUCACUCUCAAGUCGGACCAUUCUUUGGUGUAAAAUGUGUGGCUCUAGAUCGUGCGCUGCAUAUGUAUUAAGAAAAUAUAAGUUACAGUAUUGCUCUAAAACAUUAAAACUUAUAUUGAAAAGAUAAGGUAAUUCUUUACCCAUUCUCACAACUUGUCUCUUCCAGUCUGCAUUCUUAUAAUCUCACUGGAAGUUAGCCGCGAUGUGCCGGAUAUAGUAAACAGAUCUCUAUGGUACACCGAAACGCCUAAUGGCUACAAUUAAUCAUUUCUCUCUAUCGGAGAUGAUGCAAAUAUUAUCGCUGCUAAUAACAUACCUCCGUAGGUUAGUAAGGAAGAACUCCCACGAUUCCAUGUUCUCCUUAUCGACGAUGGCAAAUGCUAUCGGGAGCACGUUCCUGUUGUCGUAUUGAGCAACUGCAAGAAGUAGGAUCUGUGUGUAUUUUCCAUAUAGCCAGGUUCUAUUUACUUGCACAAAUGGUUUGUAGUGGGGAAAUGCGCGCACACAUUGAUCAAACAUCCAGAACAUCCGAUGAAAAAUUCUUUUUCUCGAUUGUAGUUGGCCAUCCGGCCCGUAAUAAGGUCGUGUCUGCAACGCAAUGAUAGUCCCCGAUACGUGUUCCCUCAUAGCGGCUAUCCAUCCCUGUAACUCAUUGUACGAUGCAUCGAAAUCUCUGUAUAAUUACUCCAUUUCCAUCUGUUUAGCUAUCUAUGCCUUCCAGUAUGAUACUCGAUACUGGAAUCGAGCUUGUAUUUCGGUAAUCAGUACCAAAAAUUUAAUGGUCGGCAUGUCUUUCACCAUUGGCAUGAUGCACGUACAGAUAGUUUUGGAGUCAAGUUUUCGAUGAUCUUCUGUCAUACGUGUUGAAGUACAUGUGUGAGGCCCAAAAAAUUUUCGUAUCUCCCACAUCUGUGACUUUUGGAUAAAUCCAGCUCGUAUCUUCCAAUUGCAGCCUUCUGCCGACCUCCAACACUCUCCAAUAAAUAAUGCUGGUUUAGACACGAUGACUUUGUAAUCUACUGAUAUAUUCAUGCUAUACCGCUUAAUGGCAAAUAUGCCUUCUUCCUUACUUUCAAAUCUCUGGCCCAUGAACAACUCAUCUGGAUCAGAAUAUACGGCUAUUCGGUGAGCAGGUAGUAUUUCAAGUUACACCAAAAACUCGGCUGCCCACGCCGCAUCGGGGACUAUCCGAGACAUGUUUGCCCCAGGAUUAUUGUGUAUCACAAUACAACGAAUCUAGUUUCCCAUUGAAGAUGCGUUAGCGUUUCCAUCCUCAUUCACGCAUUCGUUGUCAAUAUCAUCCGGGACCUUGUCUACGUCGGGAUCAUUCUCACUAUCAACUUCGUGAACAACAAGAUCACUACUAUAGUAUACAUUAUCACCAGCCACAUCAGUCUUGGGUGCAGCAUUAAGAUCAAUAUCGAUCCCGUGUAUAGUUGAUUGACUAUCAACAUACGAUACUGGAACCACCAUACACGGCGUUUGAACUCCAUCUUCUUCACCUAAUGGAGUGGGAUCUUCAGUUGCCUCCACACCGGCUAACUCAGCAAAUAACUGAAUCGAUGUAUUUUGGUUGCUCCAAGUCCCACAAUAAAGAGCGAUCAUUGUCUCCACGUCUUCAUCGUCUACAAGUUCCAUUUCGGUAAUUUUUAUUGGAUCUGUCGAAACUGGAAACUUGUAGAAAAAUUUUGAUAUCCUUCUCCCACAACAUUUAUAAAUUUUUUCACUAAUUUUUUCCUUCAUAUCAUCAAACGAGAUAUUUUUAUUAAAUCUCAUUGCUACUUGUUUGCGACAUUCAAAUAUAUAUCCCACGGUUGUUGUCAAAAUUUCUCCAUCGAAAUAAACGCAUACAAAAAACUGAUUCUCCAUCUUCAAUACUAGAUCUGUUAAAAAAUUUUCAAAAUUCUUAAAACAGUUUCGAAAUGCAAAAAAUUACAUAAAAUUUUUAAUGCAAAAUUUUUCAUUCAGAAGCUAACAAAAUUAAUAACCUAACAAAAUAACUUUCAAAUAAUAAAAUUACUAACAAGACUCAACGUUCUAUUUAAAAAGAAAUAAACCAAAAUACCUUACACUUCUUCUUGUUGUCCUUUCUUUUUUUUCUUCUCUCUAUCUUCUUAUUUCCGUUCCUUUGCUAAAAAUUAUGUCUGUGUUUCGGGGGUAUAUAUAGGAAAAAAAUAAGACCAUUAGCAUCUCUCAACAUGGCACAACUAGUGGCACCUGUCAGAUAGGCUCCACCAUUGGCACCUUUGAGAUAGGCGCAACUACUUUGUAUUUACCAGGUCAUAUACUAACCCGGGAAUAAAAUUAAUGAUAUUUUAUUAAAAUAAAAAAAUUAAUAUAAAAUAUCAUUGACGCCUGUUAGAUAGGCGUCACUAAAAAAAUUAAUAUAAAAUAUUUAUUGGCGCCUUUCAGAUAGGCUCCAUUAAAAAAACAUAUCAUUUCCGUAAAUAAUCUAUUUGACAACCUAUUUCAGUAUUAAGUUUUUUUUUAAUCUAUUUUUGUUAAAAACCCUCAUAAGGACGAAGCCGAUGAAAGCAGCCAAUGUUUUCAAUUUAGAAGCUGUCACCAUGUUAUCAAAUCAGGUAGAACAAUUAAAUAAGAAAAUUGAUGGUUUAUAUGUUUUUAUGUAGGUACAUCCGGUGAUGCAAUGCGAUACAACUGGAGGAAGAACGAACAAUCCAGAAUGUUUACCCUAUAGUCCUAACACAGAGAACGAACAAAUCAAUUAUAUGGGUAAUAAUUAUAUGCCUCAAAAUAACCCUUAUAAUAACACCUAUAAUGCCGGUUGGAAGAACCAUCCUAAUUUCUCUUAGGGUGGUCAAGGAAAUCAGAUAGCACAACCCCCUCCAAGUUUCCAACAAUCUUACCAGCAAGAGAAGAAGUCGAACCUUGAGGAGAUGUUAACGAAGUUUAUCUCGGUGUCAGAAACUCGCUUUUAAAACACUGAAGCAACACUUAAAAAUCAACAAGCAUCGGUUCAAGGGCUCGAGAACCAAAUUGGUCAACUUGCUAAGUUAAUUUCAGAACGACCACAAGGUCGUUUGCCUAGCAAUACCGAAACUAACCCAAGGGAGCAACUUCAUGCAAUUACUGUGCGAGAUGAAGAAGGGUUAGUUGAAUCUGAACCAGAAUCGAGGCAAGAAAUUGUGGUAAGUAACGGUAAGGUUGAGGUAAGCCAAAAUGAGCAAAAGUCGGUUGCUACAGAAUAUAAAAUUUGAGUGUCAUAUCCUAACGCAAUGAAGAGAGACCACACGAACGAACAAUUUGGUAAAUUUCUUAAAAUUCUAAAAAAAUUACAUAUUAACUUACCGUUUGUUGAAGCUUUUUCGUAGAUGUCCAAUUCUGUUAAAUUUUUAAAGAAGCUUUUGGCAAACAAAAGGAAGUUAGAUGAUUCGUCGAAUGUGGAGCUAAAUGCAGUUUGCUCGGCCAUAUUGCAAAAUAAACUACCCAACAAAUUGAAAGAUCCAAGGAGUUUUCCUAUUCCUUGUUUAAUUGGUAGUUUGAAUAUUAAUAAUACUUUGGCUGAUUUAGGGGCUAGUAUUAAUGUCAUGCCCUAUAAAAUGUUUAAAAAAUUAGGUCUUGGGAAACCCAAACAAACUAGGAUGAGUAUUAUCACUCUAUUCAAAAUUUAUCACUCUAUUCAAAAUUUAUCAUUCCUAAUUUUAAAUAAGAAGUUUUUUUAAUAUUGGUUAAGGUAUUAUGUCCCAAGUUUAAUUAGGAAUGAUAAAAUUUGAAUCCUUCAAUAGAUUUCAAAUCGAUUCAUUUCGAAUAGAGUGAACUCUUUUUUAUUUAAAAAGUGAAUGCGGGGCGGGGUAGAUUUUUUUUUUUGAAUAGUGGGAUAGAGCGAUUAUGGUAAUUGCUUGUCUCGUCCCGAUCUACUUCAUUAUAUGAAAUUAUCAUUUUAUCUUUGUAUAUAUAAAUUAUUAAAAGGGUAAAAAAGUAAUAAUAUAAUAUAGAAAAAAUCAUAUAUUUUAUGUUUAAAUAUUUGCUCGACUUUAAAAAGAUUGAAAAUAUUAAAAAUAAGUAAAAAAAUUAAAUUGAAGCGGGGUGAGGCAGGGCGGGGCGGGGAUGGAUGCAUUCAUCAUCCAUAGAGGUGGUAGUGGUUUCCAAGAUUAUACAUCUUUAGUGGAGUGGGGCGGGUGUGGAGCAAAGCAUGCCAAUUGUGGAGCGGUAACGGAUUUUACAAUAUUCACCUGUGUUCCACUACAUUAUCAUCCCUAACUCCAAUUGUAUUUAUCAUCUUUACUAAAAAAAAUAGGCAAAUUAUCCAUUAUAUGCUCGAAAAAGUGCAAAUUACCCAAUUUGUUAAAAAUUUCAUCCAUUUGUGCUGUUAAGUGAUUAUUUGGUUUUUCUAGUUUUUUAAAUGUAAGGGACGUGAAAUUAAAGGAUGAGAAGGAGUAUAUAAAAGUACCAUUUGAGUCAAAUUCCUUUUUAUACCUUCUACUCAGAAAAUAAGCAAAUUAGUCCUUGUAUAUUAGAUCAAAGACAAUGAUAUGUAAUGUGUCAUGUGUACCUCAUGCUGACGUAACAUUUUGUCUCCUCGACAAAUAGUUAAAAAGUUAAAAAUCUUAAAAAAUAAAAUUUUCUAACAACCAUUUUAAAAACCAUGUCUGAACUUGGACAACUAAGUUCAUCAAAAACAUAGGUUUUUUUAAUAAUUAAAAAAUUAUAGAAAAUUAGUUAGAAAUUAUAAAUUUAUUAAAAGUUAUUAAAAACAACAUCCAAAAUAAACUUGAACAACCAUUUGUCUAGGUUCAUUUUGGAGUAUUUUUUAAAUAAUUAUUAAAAAAUAUACAACAUAUAAAAAUUAUUAAAUAUGAUUAAGAAUGAUAAGAAAUUAUAAACAAUUUUUAAAUUUUUAAAAUUAAUAAUAAAAAAUUUAUUGUGAAAGGUUUCUAUGGUAUAUAUUUGUGUAUAUAUAUUUGAAUUACAAUAAAUCAAAAAAUAUUAUGUGUCGAAACCAUUUUUUAUUUUUGGAAAAAAACAAAAAUUAGUUGUCGACUUUAAAAAAAACAAAAAUUAGGAGUCGCCACCAAUCUUUUAUUAAUGUGUGAUUGGAUCACCUAAAAAAUAGCUUUGGUCUACGAGUUUCAGAAAAACGGAAUCGGGAGUCAGUUACGUACGAGGAAGGAUUAGCACCCUCGUAACACCCAAAAAUUGGUACCAAAUUGAUUAAUUAAUGUCUUAAAGUCGAGAGUUUAAAAAAUACUAUCCUUAGUUAAAUUAAAUUAUUUAUUAAGACUUUCUCUUUUUGAAAAGAAAAAUAUCAUACCAAAUGCGUUAGGGUACAACAUUUUAUUCUCUUCAAGAUGAGUUGGUCCCAAAAACUCGUAUAAUAAAAUUUAAGAAAAUAUUUAAUUGUUUAAAAUUUAUGAAGAAAUCGUAGCCCAAUACGUUAGGGCACUAUUUCUUAAAAUCUCAAACAUUCAAUAUUUCCUUUAUAUUUAUUUUAAAAAAAUCAUUUAUCUCGAGAAAUCAACGUGUCAUAUCCAAUACGUUAGGACACAACAUAUUGAAUUCCCGAUGACAAGUUUUAUUUUGUUUGAUUAAAGAACAAUCCUCGAUUGUUAGAUUUUACGAAGAAAAUCGAAACCCAAUACGUUAGGACUCAAUUUUCUUGAAAAUCUUAAAUACGAGUAUUAUCUUUAUUUUGAAAAUUUUCCAUUUUUAAAUUCGAGUAAAAGAUAAUGUAAUGUUAUAAUGUAUGUAUAAAUAUCGUGAUAACAAAUACAAUAGUAAUAAAUACAACAAUGGCAUAGAAAUAAUAUAAACAAAUAAAUAAAAAUAAAUCAAUAACAUGGAAAGCAUCAAAUAAAUGAGCGAAAUAAAAAAAAACAUGCUUUUAAAAUAUAAAUGAAAACAUAAAUUGAUAAACAAAAGAAGGAAAUAAACAAAAAAAAUAUAAAGAGAAAAAAGGGUACAAAAUAUAUACAUGUACAUAUAUAAAAAAAUUAUAUACAUAUAUAUAUAGAUUAUAAAAAAGAUAAUUACAUAUAUAUAUAAACAAAUAAUAAUAAUUACAUAUAUUAAAAUUAAUUAAUUUAGAAAUAUAUAUAUAAAUUUUAUGAAGAAUAAUAUAAGAAAACAUACGUAUAUACAUAUUUAUCAAAGUAAAAAAAUAUAAAAGUAUAUAUAUAUGCAUAUAAAAGUUAGGAAAUAAAAAAUGUAUAUGUAUAUAAAAUGUAAAUGUAUAUAUAUGUAUAUAAAAGUUAUGCAAAUAGAAUAAUAAUAAAAUAUAUAUAAUAUGUGCAUGUGUUUAUAAAAGCUUUUUAAACAAAUGUAUGUAUAUAUAUUAUUGUAAAAAAAUAUGCGUAUGUGUAUAUAUAGUAAUAAUAAUAAUAAUGACAAUAAUAAUAACAAUAAUAAUAAGAACUUAAUAACAAGAAAAUCAAAUUUAAUAAAAAUAAAUAAAAAAUAAAAAAGACUAAAUCGAGCUUUGACAUAAAUUCUAGGCUUAAAUCCGCAAAUAAAUGAAGUCGAAAUGACUCUAUUGAACACGCCAAAGAAAAUAAAAAUGCAAGAGAAAGAGAAAUUUGAGGGAAUACUCUUAAGAAUUAUUAUUACUCCCAACUUCCCUCCCCUUACAAUGAAGGGAGAGGCCUCUAUUUAUAGUUGAGCCUCCCCAAAUCCAACGGUACAGAUAAAUUACAUCAACGGCUAAGAUUAAAGGGUAUCUACAAAUUAAAUCUCUAAGAUUACAAAAUAAUAUGUUCUAAGAUUGCAUAUCAUAUCUAAGAUUGCAUAUAUCAUAUCUAAGAUCAUAUCUAAGAUUACAUAUCCUUGAAGAUUAUGUUUCCAUAAGCUUGUAGAUGGACCUUCAACCUUUUCAAGUAAUGGGUCAUUUCGAUCGGGCCAAAUGAUAUAAUUUUGUACUGAACUUAGACUUUGUUUUAUUAUUUUGGGUUUAUUAUUUUUUUGUGAGCCCGGACUAAAAUUGGGUAUUACAGCUGCCCCUCUUUGCUCGUUGUCGUGUAAUAGGAAUGGAGAAAAGACUUUAAAAAUGGCCAAUUUUUGCCCAGUCACGCUGGAUCUUGGUGCUCUUCUUCUUCAAGCAGUCACAUUCCAUCCUACUGUAUCUUCAGAGGUAUAGGAAUUGGUGUCUCGAUCCACUCCACCGCAAUGUCGGGGAGAUAGGAUUGGUGACUCAUAACUUUUAAUCUGUUUAACUGUGAUGUGGGGGAAUUACGAUUCGCUGUUGUAGCUUCAAUCUUUUGAAUUGCAAUGUUGAGGAAACAAGAUUCACCGUCGUAGCUUCAAUCUGUUCCAUUAAACCGCUAGGGGAGUAAGAUUCGCCGUUGGAGCUUCAAUCUGCUCCACUGUAAUACCAAAGAGAUAGGAUUCGCUGCCCAUAGCUUCAAUCCGCUCCACUUCAGCUAAUCCAAGCCUUAAUGCCAAGGAGAUAAGAUUCGCCGUCGUGGCUUCAAUCUACUUCGCUAUAACGCCAAGGAAAUAAGAUUCGCCGUUGUGGCUUCAAUCUUUUCCAUUGCUACGUCAAGGCGAUAAGACUGAUGUCUUCGAUCUGCUUUACUGCCAGUACAGGAAUGCAAGAUCUGCUAUUUUCAACCUACUCCACUGCUGCUCAGGGAGAUAGGACCUACAAUCUUCAAUCUAUUCCACUGCUGCCUAGGGAGAUAGAAUUCUCAAUCUUUAACUUAUUCCACUGCUGACCAGAGAGAUAUGAUUCACAAUCUUUAACCUAUUCCACUGCUGACCAGGGAGAUAGGGUUGGGGUCAUCGAUCUGCUUCGCUGUCGGUGCAGGAAGGCAAGGUCUGCUAUUUUUAACCUGCUCCGCUGCAACCUAAGGAGGCAAGGCUGGUGUCUUCGAUCUACUUCGCUGUCGGUGUAGGAAGGCAAGAUCUACUAUUUUUAGUCUGCCCCGCUGCAACCCAGGGAGGCAAGGCUGGUGUCUUCGAUCUGCUUCGCUGUCGGUGCAGGAAGGUAAGAUCUGCUAUUUUUAGCCUGCUCCGCUGCAACCUAGGGAGGCAAGGCUGGUGUCUUUGAUCUGCUUCGCUGUCGGUGCAGGAAGGCAAGAUCUGCUAUCUUCGAUCUACUUCACACCAAUACAUGAAGAUAAGAUAUGCUUUCUUCGAUCUACUUCGUCACCAGCAUGGGAAGACAAGAUCUGCAUCUUCGAUCCACUUCCUACCAAUAUAGGAAGACAGAACCUGCUAUCUUCGAUCUACUUCACACCAAUACAUGAAUACAAGAUCUUCUUUCUUCGAUCUACUUCGCCACCAGUAUGGGAAUGCAAGAUCUGCAUCUUCGAUCCACUUCGCUACCAAUAUAGGAAGACAUGAUCUGCUAUCUUCGAUCUACUUCACGCCAAUACAUGAAGACAAGAUCUGUUUUCUUCGAUCUACUCCGCCACCAAUAUGGGAAGACAAGAUCUGCAUCUUCGAUCCACUUCCUACCAAUAUAGGAAGACAGGACCUGCUAUCUUCGAUCUACUUCACGCCAAUACAUGAAGACAAGAUCUGCUUUCUUCGAUCUACUCCGCCACCAAUAUGGGAAGACAAGAUCUGCAUCUUUGAUCCACUUUCUACCAAUAUAGGAAGACAAUACUUGCUAUCUUCACUGAUCUGCUCUCUGGGAACAUGACCUGUAUAAUGAACCUAAUUAUGCCUAAUGAUUAGGAUGGCAUAAAAUGAAUCAAAUGCUCCUAACUAGUCAUGUGUGAAUGGUGUUUGCACGAAUGCAUAAUUUUUUUUCGAGAAUGAUUCCACUUAGGUUGUCAUUGCUCGAAGUUUAUUAAGGCUUUAACACUGAUGUGCUACAACACCUUCUUGCUUGGCUGGCUUUUCUGAAGAAACAUUUAGUCAGGUUGCCCCUCACUGUAAACCUCAAAGUUUAAUCCAUUGGGGCGCAAAAUUUGUACCAUCAUUUUCCCACUGUAACCCAAAGGUAGGAAUAUAUGGCUUUUUCUCGAUCAUCUCCUAUCACAAUUCAAGGAUACAGGAUCUAAAUCUCUCUGGUCCCUUACACCAUUCCCAAGGUAUCGUACCAAAGGCUCAUGCAUAAAUGAAGGCUUUCUUCUUCGAGGAAACCUCUUCUUACUGUCUGGUGAUCAUUGCUUACUUGUUUAUUUAAGCUUUGUCAUUUUGUUCAAUCAAUGUUUUUAACAACAAAAUCCAAAGAGAAAAUCCUAAUUUAGACUCUUCCUUUUCAGAUUUCCAACCUUUAAACAUGGUGCGUUCUAAACAAUAGUUCUGUCUCAGGUUCCUGUAUUAUUUAGAAACUUCUAGAGUAAUAUGCCAAACUUCCCUUGUAAAAGUUUUAUUAGUCCAUUAAUCAUUAUUCCAAUGCAACAUGUUUGUAAAAAGGGUAUAACAAUAGAUGAGAAUACAAUUGGUUCUGAGCAUAGCUCGAAAGGAAUAGAUUAUCAAAAAUAGUAAACAAAGAAAUUGAUUGGGAAUAUGUAUCUUGGAAAAGAAUGAAGUAUUCCAAGAACAACAAAUUCAAUAGUAUAAAAAAUUGGGUGCCUAGAUAUCGCAGCUUGAGCUUCUCUGUACAAACCUUUUGGGUUUGACAUGUGUUUAGGAGAUCUAUAGUAUUCUGUCGAUGUCCCAAGAUGUUGUCUUCCCUUUCCUGUUGCUUCAAGAUCAUCAUAUGCCCCAAUCUGAUCAAAAUUUGAACUGCUCUGAUUACCUCAUGCUCCAUUCUAAUCAAUAUUUGAGCCGCCCUUUUCGGGUUUUCAACUCAAAUCCCUUUUGGUCUCAAGACGCCCUUUGCGGGUUUUCAACUUGGCCUCUCCAUUUUCUUUCUCUUUUUUUUUUUGCUCUUUUUUUAAUAUUUUGAAAUAUUUUUGAUUGAAUCUGAACUCAUAAGAUUAGACAUGUGCUUUCUAUCGUCGUUUCUCCAGAUAAGGCCUUCCACGUAAGAUCCUUCCCAGCUUGGGAUGAAGUUCUUUUUGUAUGGGAAGGAUUAGCACCCUCGUAAUGCCCAAAAAUUGAUACCAAAUUGAUUAAUUAAUGUCUUAAAGUCGAGAGUUUAAAAAAAUACUAUCCUUAGUUAAAUGAAAUUAUUUAUUAAGACUUUCUCUUUUUAAAAAGAAAAAUAUCACACCCAAUGCGUUAGGGCACAACAUUUUAUUCUCUUCAAGAUGAGUUGGUCCAAAAAACUCGUAUAAUAAAAUUUAAGAAAAUAUUUAAUUGUUUAAAAUUUAUAAAGAAAUUGUAGCCCAAUACGUUAGGGCAUGAUUUUUUAAAAUCUCAAACAUUCAAUAUUUCCUUUAUAUUUAUUUUAAAAAAAUCCUUUAUCUCGAGAAAUCAAUGUGUCAUAUCUAAUAUGUUAGGACACAACACAUUGAAUUCCCGAUGACAAGUUUUAUUUUGUUUGAUUAAAGAACAAUCCUCGAUCGUUAGAUUUUACGAAGAAAAUCGGAACCCAAUACGUUAGGGCUCAAUUUUCUUGAAAAUCUUAAAUACGAGUAUUAUCUUUAUUUUAAAAAAAUUUCAUUUUUAAAUUCGAGUAAAAGAUAAUGUAAUGUUAUAAUGUAUGUAUAAAUAUCGUGAUAACAAAUACAAUAGUAAUAAAUACAACAAUGGCAUAGAAAUAAUAUAAACAAAUAAAUAAAUAAAAAUAAAUCAAUAACAUGCAAAGCAUCAAAUAAAUGAGCGAAAUAAAAAAAACAUGCUUUUAAAAUAUAAAUGAAUACAUAAAUUGAUAAACAAAAGAAAGAAAUAAACAAAAAAAUAUAAAGAGAAAAAAGGGUACAAAAUAUAUACAUGUACAUAUAAAAAAAUUAUAUACAUAUAUAUAUAGAUUAUAAAAAAGAUAAUUACAUAUAUAUAUAAACAAAUAAUAAUAAUUACAUAUAUUAAAAUUAAUUAAUUUAGAAAAAUAUAUAUAAAAUUUUUUUAUGAAGAAUAAUAUAAAAAAACAUACGUAUAUACAUAUUUAUCAAAGUAAAAAAAAAUAUAAAAGUAUAUAUAUAUAUGCAUAUAAAAGUUAGGAAAUAAAAAAUGUAUAUGUAUCUAAAUGUAAAUGUAUAUAUAUGUAUAUAAAAGUUAUGCAAAUAGAAUAAUAAUAAAAUAUAUAUAUAUAAUAUCUGCAUGUGUUUAUAAAAUUUUUUUAAACAAAUGUAUGUAUAUAUAUUAUUGUAAAAAAAUAUGCGUAUGUGUAUAUAUAGUAAUAAUAAUGAUAAUAAUAACAAUAAUAAUAAUAACUUAAUAACAAGAAAAUCAAAUUUAAUAAAAAUAAAUAAAAAAUAAAAAAAGACUAAAUCGAGCUUUGACAUAAAUUCUGGGCUUAAAUCCGCAAAUAAAUGAAGUCGAAAGGACCCUAUUGAACACGCCAAAGAAAAUAAAAAUGCAAGAGAAAGAGAAAUUUGAGGGAAUACUCUUAAGAAUUAUUAUUACUCCCAACUUCCCUCUCCUUACAAUGAAGGGAGAGGCCUCUAUUUAUAGUUGAGCCUCCCAAAAUCCAACGGUACAGAUCAAUUACAUCAACGGCUAAGAUUAAAGGGUAUCUACAAAUUAAAUCUCUAAGAUUACAAAAUCAUAUCUUCUAAGAUUGCAUAUCAUAUCUAAGAUCAUAUCUAAGAUUGCAUAUUCUUGAAGAUUAUGUUUCCAUAAGCUUGUAGAUGGACCUUCAACCUUUUCAAGUAAUGGGCCAUUUUAAUCGGGCCAAAUGAUAUAAUUUUGUACUGGACUUAAACUUUGUUUUAUUAUUUUGGGUUUAUUAUUUUUUUAUAAGCCCAGGCUAAAAUUGGGUAUUACAUUAUGAAAUAUAAGGAAUUAAUAAAAUAGGACUUGUCAACUUGAUUAAGGAAGUACAUGUAUAUAUAUUGAAUUCUUUAAAUAAGCUAUAUGUAUGUGCAUAUAUAUAGUUUUAAUAAUUAUAAAAAAUUUAAAAACUUUAAAUGAUUAUUUAAAUUUCUUAUAAUUUGUAAUCAUUUUAAAUAAUUUCAUUUAAUUUUGUAUAAUUAUUUAAGAAACCACUAUAUGACUAGACAAUCAUUUUUUUCAAGUUAAUUAUGAACAUUUAAAUUAUUUUAGAAUAUAUUUUUAUUAAUUUUCAAUAUUUUUAUAAUUUCUUAUAUUUCUUAAUAAAUUUUGAACAAUUUUCUAUAUUUUUAUUUUUAUUUAUAAUUAUUUGAAAAAUCAAUGUCCAAGAUGAUUGUCCAGGUUGUACAUGUUCAAAUGAACCUGAACAACCAUUUAUUCAAGUUUAUCCUAGAUGUGAUUUUUUAAAUAAUUAUAAAAUACAUGUAUUUUAAAACUUUUAAAUAUUCUCACAUUAGCAUGAAGCACACAUAGCAUGCCACAUGUUACUGUCUUGUUGCUCUGUCAGCCGCAUUAGCACUUACUAGUAGAAAUAGAUGAAAUUUUUAAUAGAAUGACCAAUUUGCUUUUUAAUCUAACAUAUAGAGACUAAUUUGUCCAAUUUUUUAAUAAAGGGGGCAAUAUGCAAUUCAACUUCUAGUAUAAGAGCCUCCAUGGUACUUUUACUUUUUUGUACAAAUAAAAAGUUAAUUUUAUAUCUAACAGAUCCCAGACCUUAGCUGCAAAAGGGCAAUCUCAAAAACCAUAUUCUAAAUUCCUUACACCACCCCCCACACUUGGGGCAAACAGCAAAUCCAACUAGCCGUUUAUUGUAUAAAUUGUAGAAAUUAGGAAUUAGACGAUGAAAAAUACGCCAAGCUGUAAUUUUAAUCUUUCCUGACAAGUUGAGUUGCCAAAUCUUCUUGUAGAAAAUAUUGUAACCACUAUUAUUAACAAUGGUGUUAGGUAUUCUAAACCCUUGUAAUAGAGUCCUAUAGCCACUCCUAACUGUAUAUUUGCCUGAAGGUUCUUCUCCCCAAACAACAAUAUCAGGCUAUGGGAUACACAGAAUUUUUCUCACCACCUUGGUUCUAAAGCAACUGGUAAUUUUAGCUACAUCCCAUUUUCUUUCAUGUUGUGAAAUUAGGUCAGAAACUUUAGUGGCAAUGUACCUUCCAAAUUCUAAAUUUUACAUUUUGCUAAUCUAGGGACCCAGACAUCAUCCCAAAUACUGAUUUUCGAACUUGUUCCCACCUACCGGCCCAUUCCCUCUUUUAGCAGACGUAUUGCAGCCUAUAUGUUUUCCAGGUAUAGGAUGGGUAAGUUCUUAAAUUUGCAUCCAAAAAAUCAGUAGUAGGAUAGUAUUUGGCUUUAAGAGAUCUGGCUAAUAACGAACUUUGAUCUUUAAUCAAACAUCACCCUUGUUUAGCAAGAAGGGCAAAAUUUACCAAGAGUCCGGAAUCUCAUGCCACCAUUCUUUUUCAACUCCCACAACUUCGACCACUCACACCAAUGUAUCCCCCUUUUCCCCCCUAAAUUUUUGUUAAAAAAACCAGUAAUAAUACGUUCUUUAAUCCAAGCACAACGAAGCUGACUAAAAAAAAAGACAUCGUAAAAGUGGGAAUGGCCUGUAACACACUAUUUAUAAAUACAUCAUUCCCCCUUGGGAAAAAAGCCUCACGCACCAACUGUUAAUACGACUCCUCAAACGAUCCUUCAACCCUUGACAAGCUCUUUUUUUACUCCUCCCUACCAUGUUUGGCAAUCCCAAAUGUCGCUUAGGAUAAUAAGAACCACAAACCCCCAAACAAUCUAAUAUCCUCAUCCUCUCUCCUUCCUCAACAUUCGAACUAAAAUAAACAAAUGAUUUAUCAUAGUUUACGCAUUGCCCCGACGUCUCCUUAUGCUCCUUAAGAAUUUGUUUUAGGAUCUCCACCGAAACCCCUCCAAAUAAAAUACAGUCAUCAGCAAAUAGAAGAUGAGAGACCUCCGGACCCCUUCAACACAUUUGAACACAUUUAACCAAUCCAUCUUAGCUUGCCAUGCGCAUUAGAGAAGACAACCCUUCAUUGCAUAUUAGAAAUAAAUAUGGGAUAAGAGGAUACCCUUGUCGAAAAUCGCUUCUUAGAGAAAAACCCUCCCCAGUUCACCAUUAAGAACAAUAGAGUAUGAGAUGGUACUCACACAUUGGAUAAUAAAAUCCACCCAAAUUGUCGAGAAGCUCAUCUUCAACAUCAUCUUCUCUAUAAACUCCCACUCCACCCUGUCAUAUACCUUACCAUGUCAAGCUUAAGAGCAAGAUGCUUCUUCUUUUCAAGCCUUCUCCGCUUAUACACCUCUAAAAUUUCAUAUGCAAGGAGGAUAUUAUUUGUUAUUAACUUUCUAGAGAAAAAAGUGCUUUGCGCUUUAUCCAUACAACAAUUUAAUACUUUUUGAAGUCGGCUUCCACUAUUUUAGAGAUAGUCUUAUACAACACCGUACAAAGACUAAUAGGGCAGAAAUGCUUCAUGCUAGUAAUGUAAUACCCAAUUUUUAGCCCCGGCCCAAACCAUAAAUGAAGCCCAAAUCACAAACCAAAUACUAAAACUAAAUACAUUUAACCCAAAUAACCCAAACUACAAACCCAUUAACCUAAACCCAAGGCCAACUACAAUAUAGCCCAAGGGAGAAACCCUAAGCAGUUAGCAGCAGACAGCGCCGCAUGCCCCACGUUCGGCAGCCUCCACAUCGCCCACGUUCAGCCCUCCGCGCGCACGACGCACGUUCUUCCUGCAACAAACCACGAACCAUGAACAGCAGGGAUAGCAAAAAUAUAGCAAAGAUUAAAAAAAGAUUUUCAUGGAUUUUUAUUGGGGGGAUCUGCUAUAACAGCCGUUUUCAAAGCUGUAAAAAGGGGCAAAAAAAUCUUUUGUAAAAAAAGGAAAAUCAAAAGAGAAAAAACAAGCAUGUUGCAUCAACCAUCAGAGAAAAAAUACAAAAAUAGGGAUUGAAGGUAGUUUUAGUCUCUUCGUUUUGAUUUAUAUUAAACUAGUACAGCAAAUAAAAGGAAAAAGGUAAGGGAGGCUUACUUUUGCAUUCGUAUAUGCUCAAAAGGGGUUAAAAACCCAACUCGACGUGCCUUUUACCACCGUUCACGGUGGAACCGCGGCGGUUGGCAUGACAGCUGCGGCGUGGAGGUGCUAGGGUCAAAACCCUAGCAGAGAAUUUUCCCCCUUUUGUUUUUAAGGAAAAUGAAAUAAAAUGUUUUUUUAAAGGAAAUUUUGGUUUUAAUACUAUAAACAAAACGGCGCCGUUUGAUGGGGGAGGACCCGCGCGUCGACCCGACCCGCAAGCAGGGUCCGCGCAUUCUGGCCCUAAAUAGAAAAUUUUCACGAUUAGUCCUCCGCUUUUAUAACAUGCUUAAAUUGAUUCUUUCAUGUUUCCUAAAUGUGGCCGCAUUUUCCAUCGUUUAUUUCAAUUUGGUCCAGGCUUGGAGCGCUGCGUUUUGGAGGGCUUGGAAUAUUUCCGAAUUGACCCUCCAUGUUACGCGCAUUUUGCAAAUUCGCCUUCUGUUUUAAUUUAUUUUUGUUUUUUUUUUCAAUUAUGUUUUGAUUACAAUUUAAAUUUUGGUAUUUGUUUUACUAAUUAAGUUUAAUAAUAAUAAUAAUAAUAUAUUAUUAUUAUUAUUAUUAUUAUUACAACCAUGAAUUUGUGCGUAUUCCUUAUAAUAUACGUAUAUAUACCUUUUAUUUUACAUAUACAUUUUUCCAUUUUAUAAUCCAUACAUAUAUAUACAUUUCCUUUAUGUUAUAUACGUACAUAUCUUUUUAAAAAAUAUUAUAAAUAUAUUUUCUUUUUUUUGCAUAUUUCAUUUUUUUAUAUGCUUAUACAUACUUAUAUAUACAUAUGAAUUUUCAUACAUUCAUAUACAUAUUUUCAUAACUUAUUUAUAUAUUUUAUGCAUUUUUUUUCAUAUUUUGUAAAUACAUGUAUAUAUUAUAUAUAUUUAUUUUAUUUUCAUAACUUUUAUAUACACAUAUAUAUACAUUUAUAUUUUAUAAUAUAUGUGCCUUUUCCUUAUUUUAUAAUCCAUGCACAUAUACAUGCAUUUUUUUAUAAUAUAUAUACAUACUUUCUUUUUCUUUUUCUUUUUUUAGAAAAAUUAUUUAUAAGUUUUUUUUUGUUUUAUAUAUUUCAUUUUUUAUUUUUAUUUUAUUUUAUAUGUGAAUACUUAUAUGUAUGUAUUUUAAUAUAUGCAUACACAUAUUGCAACUAAAGUUAAAAGUAAUAGGUUUGAACUUUAUUGGAAGCAUCGUAGAAAAUUAAAAGUGGUAUUUACAAAUCACAUGAAAUUAAAACAAUUAAGAAUAAGCAUCUUAGUCUGCCUUGUUGCACGAAGUUAGGGUUUUCUUGUCUGCCUUGUCGCACGAAAUUCAAAUUCUAGGGUGAUUGAAAUACUGCCGAUUGGAAGGAAUUUUUUACUUAAAGUUUAGGGGUUUUUUGUUUACCUUGUCACGAAUCUUAAAUCUAAGACGGUGGUUCUGCCGGUUUAAAGGGAAGUUAAUUACUAGAAGACAAAGAAGGGUCAUGGCCAAUGUUAAUCAGGUGGAUACUGAGUUAGCCAACCUCAAUAUCAACGAUGAAGAGGAAGAUCCCAUGGUGGUUUUGGAGGAAAAUAAGGCUAAUGAAGAGUUAUAUGAUAUAUGUCUGGUGGGGAGAGCUAUUACGGAUAGCAUUGUAAAUUUCACAUAUUUAAUAAACACGUUGGCUGAUUUAUGGCAUCCAUUAAGAGGAGUAUCAAUCACAGAAUUAGAGAAUAAAAGGAUUUUAUUUAGAUUCUACAGUGAGAUUGAUUUAAAGCGUGUCAUGGAUAGGAUGCCAUGGUUUUUUAAUAGACAUCUCAUUAUUUUUCAUAGUUUAGCAAGAGACGAAGAUCCUAAUUUGAUCCCCCUAUGGAAUGCAGCUUUUUGGGUUCAGAUCCACAACCUACCUAAAGGAGUAACAUCAGAGGGAACAGUGCGUCAGCUGGGUGACUUUAUUGGCAAAUUUAUGGAGUAUGAUUCUGCAAUGGUGACAAGAGGGGGAGGUAAAUUCAUGAAAAUUAGGGUUCUACUUGAUAUUCGAAAACCACUGAAAAGGAAAAAAUGAAUCAGCAUCGAGCAGAAUAAAUUUAUAUAUGUUAUAUUUCAGUAUGAGAGACUAUCACUUUUUUGCUUUAUUUGUGGCUGACUUGGUCAUGGAGAGAGUUUUUGUGAAGUAAGAUUAACACUUGGGAACCAAAAAGUGGAGUUUGGGUGGGAUUUGUCGCCAAGAGCAAUGCCAAGACGGGGAGGACAGGCCGUGAGCAAAUGGCUAAGAGAGGAUACAGAAAAGGAAAAAUGGAAUGAUAUGGAGAUUGAUGGGGAAAGAAGGCUAAGAAGAUCUGACGAAGAAGGUAUUAAUAGGAACGAACUCAGGGGGAAAGAGGUACCUUGGGACGUAUCACUCGGCAAAUUCGGAUCAUAAACGAAAGGGAUCGAUUUAAUUUGAGAAAUUUAGAGGAAAAUAGUUUGAAGAAGAAAUGGAAGAUUUACUAGUAGAGCUUGUUGAUAGAAAAAAGCGGCAAAGGAUUAAUCCUGAAAAAUGUGUCUUUAGGAAAUAGUAAGAGCCUAACAGAAGGAAAUGUGGAAAUCAAUUUAUCGGCGGUCACUCCAAAGGUGACUGACCGGGCACAAUGAAAAUCUUAAGUUAGAAUGUUCGGGGUUUGGGGCAUCCUCGAACUGUACGACGUCUCAAAAACAAAUCGAGACAUAUCAAGCCCCAAAUAUUGUUUCUUAUGGAAACAAAGGUUACAAGUAAACGAAUAGAAUCAAUAAGAAGACAAUGUGGGUUUACAUGUGGUAUCGAUGCGGCGGCAGUAGGCACGAGUGGAGGGUUAUCAUUAAGAUGGAAGGAGGGAGGGAAAGUAUCAUUGAACAGUUUUUCGAAAUCUCAUAUCGAUGUAGAAAUCGAAAAUGAAGAGGAGAUGGAUUCAUGGAGACUCACGGGAUUUUACGGAGAACCAGUGGAGAAUGAAAGGAAAAAGACUUGGGGUCUAUUAAAGCUCUUAAAACGUGAAAGUAGCAAACCAUGGCUGACUAUCGGAGAUUUCAACGAAAUUUUCUUUUUUUUUUGAGAAAAAAGGGGGGAAAAUCCGUGAUGAAAGGUAGAUGAAUGCAUUUAGGGAAACACUUGAGUAUUGCGAUUUAUAUGAUUUGGGGUUUUCUGGACAAUGGUACACAUGGGAAAAAGGCCAGCUGGCUAACAACAACAUUAGGGAAAGAUUGGACAGAGGUGUUGCAAAUAUGGAAUGGUGGGACCUUUUUCCAAGAUUUAAGGUUAGCCACUUACAACACAGUUUUUCAGAUCACUGUCCAGUCAUGGUUGAUACAUUUUGGGAUGAAGGGAUACUAGGGAAGGAAAAACAUUUGCAUUUUCGUUUUGAUGCAAAUUGGAUUCUAAAUUAGGAAAUUGAGGAGAGGAUAACACGGGAGUGGAAUUCAAAUAAUCUGGAUGUGCUUGAGAAGUUGAAAAAAGUGGGUACGAAUCUGAGUACUUGGGCGAAGAAGGAGAAACGACGGAAAGAACAACGAAUGAAAGAUUUAAAUGGUAGACUACUGAAACUGGGGGCUAGCGAUAUCAGUGAUGCUGUAUUAGAGGAGAUUACUGAGAUUAAGCUAGAUUUGAAUCUCGAGGCAGAUAAAAAGGAACUUUUUUUGGAACAAAGAGCAAGAGUUAACUGGCUCCAAUUGGGAGACAGAAAUACGGCAUUUUUUCACAAGAAUGCAACACAUCACAGAAGGAAAAAUAGGAUUCAGGGGUUGGAAAAUGAAGCAGAAACUUGACCACUGAUGAGUCUGAAAUCAUGGUUCUAGCUACUAAGUUUUUCACAGAUUUGUUCACAUCUAAACCAGUGGAAAACAAUGACAGAUUUUUUAAUUCAUUUUUACCAUGCAUCACAGAGGAACACAACGGUAUUUUAAUGGAGGAAUUUAAAGAAGAAGAAGUGGUGAGGGCGAUAAAAUCUAUGGCACCCCUUAAGGCAUCAAGACAAGACGGAUUUCCAGCAAUUUUUUAUCAUAAGUACUGGCAUGUUGUUGGAGAGGGAGUUUCAAAAUAUUGUUUGGAUGUUCUUAAUGGACGAAGAAAUGUAGAGGAGAUAAACAAAACAAACAUAGUACUUAUACCAAAAGAGAAAUCGCCAAAGUCUAUAAACAAGUUUCGACCCAUUAGCUUGUGCAAUGUUAUUUACAAAAUUGUCUCAAAAGUCAUUGUUUCACGUUUUCGACAGGUACUGGACUUAUGUAUUGAGGAUACUCAAGGAAUGUUUGUACCAAGAAGACAAAUAACAGACAACAUUCUAAUUGCUUAUGAGGUAUUGCACUCGUUCAAAAAAAGAAGAGGAACAUCAAAAAAAAGUUUUGCUUUGAAGCUAGAUAUGAGCAAAGCAUACGACAGAGUUGAAUGGAGUUUUUUAGAAAAAAAUGAUGCACAGUAUGGGAUUUUGUGAGAAUUGGAUCUUACUGGUUAUGAGGUGUAUCACCAGUGUAGUAUAUACAGUGGUGGUUAACGGGAAAAACGGGGAAGAAUUCAGGCCACAACGAGGAUUAAGACAAUGUGAUCCAUUAAGUCCAUAUUUAUUUCUUAUUUGUGCCGAAGGAUUUUCAAGACUGAUUGCACUUGCAAAAAGGGAAGGGAGUCUUAUUAGGACAAAGGUGGGGAGAGGUAACGUGUCAGUGUCACAUCUGUUCUUUGCAGAUGAUAGUAUUCUAUUUGGAGAAGCUUCAGCAGAAGGAGCUAACCGUAUGAAAAGUGUAAUACAGGAGUAUGAAAAGGUUUCUGGACAAUUGGUUAAUUUUGAAAAAUCCCUUAUCUAUUACAGCGGCAAUGUGGAUUCGCUUAUAAAGGAUCAAGUGGGAAGGAUAUUAGGCAUCAGGAAUUCCAAUAAUCCAGAAAAAUAUCUGGGGCUUCCAACCAUGGUGGGUCGCCGAAAAAAGCAUGCUUUUGUUGAGUUAAAAGAAAAAGGCAUGAAGUUAUUGGGCAACUGGAAGAUGAAAUUUUUGUCGGUUGGAGGGAAUGAGGUACUUUUAAAAUCUAUUUUUCAAGCAAUUUCGGUUUACGCAAUGCAAUGUUUUAAGUUACCAGUUACAUUUUGUCAUGAAUUGGAGAUUCUGAUGUGUAAAUUCUGGUGGAGGAAUUCUAAAACAAAUAAAGGGAUUCACUGGUGUAAAUGGAAGGAGUUAUGCAGUGCCAAAGCAAAGAGAGGACUAGGAUUUAAAGAUCUAUCAAAAUUUAAUUUGGCCCUGUUAGCGAAGCAGGGGUGGAAAAAUUGGAGAUUCUGAUGUGUAAAUUCUGGUAGAGGAAUUCUAAAACAAAUAAAGGGAUUCACUGGUGUAAAUGGAAGGAGUUAUGCAGUGCCAAAGCAAAGGGAGGAUUAGGAUUUAAAGAUCUGUCAAAAUUUAAUUUGGCCCUGUUAGCGAAGCAGGGGUAGAAAAUUAUUAUGCAACCUGAUUGUUUGUUGGCACGCGUAAUGAAAGCCAAGUAUUUUCCAAAAGGUGAUUUUAUGAGUGCGGGGAUAGGAACCUACCCUUCGUAUACCUGGCGCAGCAUUUUGGGAGCUAGAUAUCUUCUUGAGGAAGAAAUGGGCUGAAGAAUCAGUAAUGAGGAAUCAGUGAACAUUUGGAAUGAUAAAUGGCUUCCUGGACCUGGCAAUGGCAGAAUUGAAUGUCAAAAUAUUGACAUAAGGUACACCAGAGUGUCUGAUUUAAUUAAUAAGGAAGAGAAUACUUGGAAUCAAGGAGUUAUUCGCACGUUGUUUGGAGAGAAACACUGGCAGAACAUAGCUUCAAUUCCAUUAGUGAGCAGCAGAUUACAGGAUACUCUAGUAUGGCGUAGUGACAACUCCGGGGUAUAUACAUCAAAAAGUGGCUACAGAUGGCUUAUUACAGAGGGGGUACAAAAUUAAAUAAUGAAAAUACUACCACUUUCUUUACAAAGCUCUGGAAGCUCAAGAUCCCUAGUAAAAUAUGCAUCCUAAUUUGGAGAAUUGUUAAUGGCUAUAUUCCUACUUUACAGAAUCUAAAAGCCCGUAGCUUGGUCCGUAAUACUGUUUGCCCGGUGUGUCAAGUUGAAGAGGAAUCGGUGGAACAUCUCUUUAGAGAUUGUAUCUUCACGCAACAAGUUUUGAGGGGAUUGGGAGUGACAGUCACAACAUGCAAUCAAGAAACCAGUUGGAAAAAUUGGUUAGUAAAAGAUUUUGAAAAUCAGAGCAUAAGAGAUUGUAAACUUAGAGCUAUCACCUAUUGGGCAAUUUGGCAUAAUCGCAAUAAAAGUUAUCAUGAGGGUGUACGGGAGACAGCAACUGAAGUAGUGGGUUUUAUUAAGGCCUACGAUAUUGAGAUAUCUGCUACAAGGGAAAAGCUAGCGAGUUCAUGUGAUGGUAGAAUAUCAACCUGGGAACCACCUGACAAUGACACCAUAAAAAUAAAUUUUGAUGCCUCAUUUAAUCAAUCAGCAAACUUCUCUACCACAGGAAUCAUUGCACGAAACAAAGAUGGACUGAUAAUGGCAGCAAGUACCUACCCAUGGAAAAAUAUUGCAGAUCCAAUUAUGGCUGAGGCAAGGGCGUGUCUGCAAGCUGUUAUUUUGGCGGAAGAAAUGGGAUUCCAGGAUGUAUGCUUUGAAGGGGACGCGCUAACCAUAAUACGCAAACUGAGAGCCACGGAUGAAGAUAAAUUGUGCAUCCGCAGUUUGAUUAAAGAGAUUAAGGAAAAAGGACGUAGAUUUAGAAGACUGAGUUUUAAGCAUAUACCGAGGGAAACUAAUAAAGUGGCUCAUGCGAUGGUGAAAUAUGGAGAACGAUACGAGCAUCUCGAUUUUGGAUUGAGGAAGCACCGCAUGCAGUAGAGUUUCUGGUAAAUCAAGAAAGGAGAAAUAACAGGCACAGUGGUAUGAGAGAAAGGUCGAGUCCAGGUUUGAGGUGAUGGUGCGCCUGAUGAACUCGUGUUCUGAAGAGAGAUUGUGAAAUCAAGAAAGUAAGAUUUUGGAAGAUAAGAGGUCUCUUGAAUGGCUGAUAAGGGAGUUUUGUUGUUUGAUGAAGAAGAGAGGAGAUGAAGAGUUCAUAUGUUCGUUCAUUUUUUAUUUUAGGUGAUUUUGAUUUUCUAGGAAUAGCUUUACAGCACGUUUGGUUCGCUGUAUUGGAUUAGAGGUGUAUUGGAUUAGAGGUGUAAUGGAAUAGAGGUGUAAUGGAAAAGCUGUGUAAUAGCAAAUCAACUGUUUGGUUGAAUGUAAUGGAAUAGAGGCGUAAUAGUAAUCCUGUGUUUGGUUGAGUGUAAUAGAGGUGUAAUAGCAUAAUGAAAAAACUAAAAUGACUAGAAUACCCUUAGCAGAAAUUUGUUUUGGUAAAUGAUUAUUGUUAUUGUUAUUUAAAAUUUUAAUAAGAUUAUUAUUAUCAAUAAUAAAUAAUUUAAUCAUAUUUAAACAUAAUUAUUAUUAAAUAUAUUUUAAUUAAAAUAUAUAAUUUAAUAAAAUUCUUAAUAAUCAAUAUUCUUAUAUGAAUUACUCAAAUCAUAAUAUAUGAUACUAUAAAAUAUAAAUUAACAUAAUUAUUAUUAAAUAUAUUAUAAUUAAAAUAUCAUGAAUUUAAUAAAAUUCUUAAUAAUUAAUAUUCUUAUAUGAAUUUACUCAAAUCAUAAUAUAUGAUACUAUAAAAGAUAAUUUGAAAUAAUUAAUAUUAAAUAUAUUUUAAUUAAAAUAUAUGACUUAAUAAAAUUUAAAAUAAUUAUAACUAAUAAAUUAUCUUAUAUGAAUUUGUAUAAUUUAAAAUAAUUAUUAUUACAUAUAAUUUAAUAAUAAUAUAUAAUUUCAUAAAAUUCUUCAUAAUAAAUUUUCUUAUAUGAAUUUAUACAAUUUAAAAUAAUUAAUAUUAAAUAUAAUUUAAUAAUGAUAUAUAAUUUCAUAAAAUUCUUAAUAAUAAAAUAUUCUUAUAUGAAUUCAUAUAAGAUAAUUUAUAAUUGCUCUUUGAGGACACUUUUGUGGUUUAAUCUUAGUUUUGCAUGUUAAUAGAUGGAAUAGCUUGAACUAAUGGUGUUAUAUAAAUCUGUUGGAUAUUUGCGCACCACAGGAUAAUGCCCAACCCUUGCAAUCAAUUGAAGGUGAUGAAAAGCAAGAAGAUACAUCUAGUAAUGGUGGUAAUGAUGAGCAGAUGGCUUCUGAAGAAGAAGAUGCUGAAAAGGCAAAGUCAAAAUCUGCCACAAGCAGGCAAAAUGAGAAGCUGUAUGCAGUAGAAGGCAUGCUGAACACAAAGAUGAAAAGAGCUGAGAAUAAGAGAAGGAAAAAAGCCAAAAAUAAAUUAACCUCACGGGAUGAAGCUAUGGAUGAUGAUGAUGAUAAUUAUGACUUUGGUGUGGAUUAUGUUAAGGGAAAGGAGCAAAACUAGUGGAGGAGUUCCAAUGUCAGGUGUUGAAGUUGAUGAGUGAUGAGAACUAGACAUACCUAGAAAAUUUUAUGCAGACACUGAAGGUGUUGGAUCCAUGCAGGAUCAGAAAUUUUGUUUAAUCGAUGUAAUUCCUUUCAAUGCUGUCACUUGUUAAAAUGUUAUUUAAUGAAUGCUUACAUAUUUUUUAAGAACCUGAACAUAUAAACCUGAAAGUUAUUUUUUUUGUUGAAUAUAAAGGGAGCAGAAAUAGAUUCAAACAAAAAGGAUAAUGGGGAUUAAACACCCUGGAUAUUAUAUUUAUUUGGUACUGUAUCAGAUGAAAAGUGUGAAAUACAAAUAGAGAUACUUGGCACUAUUCCUUUUUAGUAUCAGGCCCAGGGUCUGUAUUAGCAGCAGCAGGGUUGAGGGGAUUAUAGGAGGAUGGGGUUGUAGAAACUCCGUUAUUGGCAGUUGAGGGCGAAGCUUUAGCUGCAGCCCCAUUGUUUGCAGUGGCACCACUGCCCAUAGAUGUACUUAGGGAAGUAGACUUUGGAAUCAGCCUUUGUGCCUCCAAUUCCUCGCGUGCCGCUUGCUCUUUGGCUCUUUUUGCUCUUUCCAAUACCUCUUCCUGUGUGCAUGAAUUAAAGGGGAUGUCAUAUUUUAAUAAAUCAUCAAAAUGGAGUAGUAAAAUGCAGCAAAUUUGCAGAUGAACGAUUUCAAUUCCAACAAAAGAAGAAAAGAUCCUGAUGGCCAAUUUGUUAUUGCAUUUACUCAGAAAAUAAUGGUACAUCCCUAUGUAAACCGACAAAGGUCAGUUUCAAAAAUGCUGUAGUAGAUGUAAAGUUGAAUUCUAGCUUGAGCCUCCAAUAACUAACUAGAAAUGGAAUUCAGAUAAUACAACUUGCUAGAAUUUAAGUUGGUGUGAAACUAUGGCCAUGCAGUUCAUGAUGAGGUUAAGAGAGAGGGUUGGUUACUGGAAAUGCCAUUGAUACAGUAUAUUUGAAAACCUGAACGCCAUAAUUUUCCUCAAAAGGAAGAAAAGGGGUCUCUUACAUUAACUCUUCCUAUUGUAAAUGAAGCAAAAAUAAUACCAGCAUCAAAAGAAGGCAUUUAAAACAAAUGAUGACUGCAAUUUCGUAAGGCUCCCAAGAACAUAUGUCAAGAAAAGAAAAGAAAACCUUUAACUCCUCCCAUUUAAAUACCUUCAAAUUAUUGUUAUUUUUCCAGUAAGGUUUGGUUUGUAAGCAAUAGAACCAAUCACUUUGGGCACCAUAACAUUAGGAUUCAGAAACACACGUAAUGGUCAAGCAGCACAGAAGUGUAUUAGAGCCAAAUUUCAAAUUCAUAAAACUCUCCACUGGUGGCGUUUGUGCAUUACCAAAUAAGCUAUUCCAAGAGCUAUGAAAUAAACCCAGCAAAAGUGAACACCCCCCUCCCCCCCCAAAAGAAAGGGCCAUGACAUGAAUCAUGAAUUUAUCAAGGAUUAGAUUCAAGAACAAAAUCUGGUUACCUGGAAAUCCUGCACUUGCUUUUGUUGCUCAACCUGCAACCUUCCAACAACACUCAAAAAUUCCCAACUGUGGACUCGAUUCUCUCAUUCAAUGCUUCAGCUACAGCCUUCCCUAAGAAAAAAACAUCCAGCACAUUCCUGCUUUCAUUAUCACCUGCAAUACUAAGUAUCCCACUCAGUUUCACAUAGAAAGGAAGAAAAAAAACACACAGCUACAAUGUAUUAUAGGGUUGGGUUCACUCAUUCUUCUCAAGAAACACUCAAUUUAACCUUAUUCCCACAGGUGCACACAAUUGUAACCAUGUUUAUACUAUUAGGUCUUUCAAUACUUAUUUUCCAGCAAGAUAAAAUCCCUGGUUCAUUACUCCAACUAUAACCAGCUUAAUGAUGCUAUCUUGAUGAGCUCUUCUAGCAUUUCGACUAUCUUAAUGAGCUCAUUAAUAUUAUCACGUUGUAAAUAGAAAAAAAAAUUAGGGAUUUAUUCAUGUAUAAAUACACCCUCUAUUGUAUAUUUCUACUACAAACAUACACAGAGAAAUUCUCGAUUAAAAUCCAAGUUCAUGAAGCAAACACAAAAUAAACCCAGAAUAGUUGGAUUUUUGAAUCCCAGAAGCCACUUGGCAGUGAUGGAUUUGAACACCAAAUAAAAAGAAAAGGGAAUUAACACCAAGAAACCGAAAAGGAACCAGACCUGAAAAAUGAACACCAAGAUUCAUACCUCACGCCGAGACCGAGAGAAAAAAUGAAGCAGUGGCUUUCAAACGUGCUGCAACAAAUGAAAGGGAAAAAAUGAUCGAGAGAGAGAAUCGGUAAAGGCAGACGAGGAGAAAUGAUGAGGACAGAAAAAGGAGAGGGUCGGGUAGGGAGGGAGGGUAAAACAGAGACUUGGAAAGGGAAGCCGGACGUAAUGGGUAAUCCUCGAUUUGGGAAGGGAAUAGAAAAACAGAGAAUUUGGGGAUUAGGUCGGUAUUGUAAUACGCGCGUAAUACCUAUUACAGCGAACCAAACGCCGGAAUAGGUCGGUAAUGUAAUAGGCGCGUAAUCGGGGCGUAAUGGAUUACCUAUUACACUGAACCAAACACACUGUUAAAGUUUUGUUUUCUCAAGGCACCGUUUAGGUAGCCAAUCUUUUUUUAUUCUUUUUGCUACUUUUAAGACUGUAUUUAUUUUCAUCUUCUCUCUUCAUAAUAUAAAUAUCAGCACAGUUCAAAAAAAUAUAUGCAUACACAUAUUUUCAAAAUUUACUUAUAUAUUCACUUAUAUAUCAUCCUUAUAUAUAUUUUGUAAAUACAUAUACAUGUAUAAUUUAAAUUAAAAUAUUUAUUUCAUAUUGUACAUUAAUUUUUUAACAUCCCUUUUGAAAAUAUAUAUCUUGGUUUCAUCAAAACAUUAAAAUCAUUUUCUUUUGAUUCAAAGGCUUUUAAAAUAAUGCAAUAUUCGAUAUUCGAGAUUUUCGAGGAAAUUGAGCCCUAACGUAUUGGGUUCCGAUUUUCUUUAUUAAUCCUAAAUAACCGAGAAUAUUCUUUAUUCAAAAUGCAUAAGUAUAAAAAUAAUUUUCGGGAACUUAACUUGUUGUGUCCUAAUGUAUUGGGCAUGACAUAUUGCUUUCUCGAAAUGAAGAUUUUCUUAUAAAAUAAAAGAGGUAUUCAAAGUUUGGGGAUUUUGAGAAAUUGAACCCUAACUUAUUGGGUCUCGAUUUCUUCGUCUGACUUAAACAAUUGAUUAUCCUUUUCAAAUUUCAUCAUUUGAGUUUUUUAAAAAAUCUUUUUAACCCUCGACACUAAGACAUUAAAUAAUCAAUUUGGUACCGAUUUUGCGGAGUUACAAGGGUGCUAACCCUUCCUCGUGCGUAACUGACUCACGAACUCAUUUUCUUAAAUUUCGUAGACUGAAAUCAUUUUUAAGGUAAGCCAAUCGCACCACAAUAAAGGAUCGGUGGCGACUCUAGUUUUUUUUUUGUUUUUAAAGUCGACAACCAAAUUUUUGUUUUCAAAAAAUGGUUUCGACAAGUAACAUUAGACACUUUUGAAAUUAGAACAAUAUGGGUAUGAUUUAUUUCAACUAAAGACGCACCUUCAUUGAGAACAUCAAGACAGUAAGACCCAACAUCUUGCCCAACGAUAUGCCAGUAAGUUUGGAAAAUAAUGAAGGAAAAUCAUUAAGCCCCGAAGCUUUAGUAGGCGCUAUUGCUUUUAAAGCUAUGAAGAUCUCCUCCCUUUCGUAAUAGGCCGUAAGACAUUUAUUCAUAUCAUCUGAAAUGCAUAAUCGCAUCCCUGCUAAAAUAUUAUCAGAGUUACACAUUCCUUGUGAGGUGAAUAACUCCAUAAAGUACCCAUUAGCAAUGCUAGAUAUUCACUAUUAUCUCUAGUAAUAUGACCAUCACCCUUGUCUAACCCUUUAACUCUAUUUGUCCGCUUCCUUUAUGAUACAACCCGAUGAAAAAAACUUGUAUUUUGGUCAACCUGCUUCAACCCAUUCACACACACCCUUUUUUCUUAAUACAUCUACUCCUUAUCCAUCUCUAGGCUCAACUCUAGUUUACUCCCCAAAAAGUCCAAGAUAUUGUCAUCACUUCUGUCCUCAUUAAGCUUAACUAUUCUAUUGCACAAUUUCCUUAUAUUCCCACAAUUUUCCUUCCUUAAUCGAGUAGCCACGCCUUCAAACCCAACCCCAACGAUUCAAGGCAUUAAGGAUCAAUCCCCAUACUACUUCCCCAAAGCUGAUGACCCUCUACCUCACAUGAUUCCUCCAACGUCCAACAGGCCCCUCAAAACUUGAGUUAGCAACUCCUUUGUCCAACCUCUCCUUGAUAUUGUUAUGUUCAAAAUUACCUCGCUCCCAAGUAAACCAAGGCCCCUCAAAACCCAAAUCCUCUAAUUGACAAUCCAUUAGCACCCUCUAAAACUCCUUCAUUCGCCCCUCCUAUUGACUAACCCUCAUUUGUUUUCAAACGAAUAGACUAUCUCAUUAAAUCUCCGCACACCAUUCAAGGCAAACUCUGAUCUCUACCCAACCCACGUAAUAGAUUCCAUAAAUCAACUUAACUCCUCGAAUCAGGUGAGACGUAAAACCCUGUCAUCUUCCAUUUAACAUCACUCUCAUACUCUUGAAUCUCUACAUCAACAUGGUUUUUUGAGAAACUCCUUAAGCUAACUAUAACAUCAGGAAGCCAACCCAAACUGAGCCUACCCCUAGAUCCCUCUGCUGGUACAUCAAUGCUAUGCAAAACUCCCUUUCUACACUCUUUCUCUAUAAUGAUCGAAUCCAACUUGGUCUCCAUAAAGAAGGCGACUUAGGGAUGAUGAAGUUUUAGCAUCUAUUAAAGCCUCCUAUUAGCUCAUGGACUCCUCAAUCCAUGAACAUUCCAACACAUAAUCCUCAUUGUUGUCCGUCGACCUAUCCCUGGCUGUCACCGAUAAUUCAUCCUGGUAAGCCAAUGAUGACUCACCCACAUUCUCCCCAGAAUUCGAAGUUUCAGAAACCUUACCAGAGAAAACAAUUGUCCUUUGCCUUUUAUUACCAUCCAAACCAUCAUUCAAAUUCUUCUCUAGAUCAUGAAUCAUUGGAUCCUACCCAAAUCCCGUAGACGAACUCGCAACACUCCUAAUUCCUUCCUUUAGUCUACCUUCUAAAUUUAUUCCCAACACCGUAUUAAUAUUACUCAUACCCUUAGAUACGAGGAAGCCCCUGGCGAUCCUUACCCCUCUUGACUCCAAUGAAUUUCCAACCGAACCCACCACACUCCCCUCUCGUAACCACACACUCUUAACUAUAGUAGCUCAUCUUGUCGGUGGAGCCCAUAACGAAAUAUCCUACCCUAUUUCAGCUUCAUUCACUUCCAUCCUUAACUGGAUCGCGUAAAAACUAUUACUAUGCCCCAGGCAUCCGCACAGAAAACAAAAUAAUGUAAGUUUUUCAUAUUGAAACCUCACAUAAGUAUGGUUUUGAGGAAACAAUUGAAUUUUCUUUCUUCUUUUCAAUGGGGAUCUAAUAUCAAUUCGUUUCUCUCCUAGAUUCGAAAUCUCAAUGCCCCUUAAUGGAUGCCAAAGAUUCACUAAAGUAUUGCGCAUCACCUGAAAUUAGACCACACUGGAUGUAAGGAAACAACCCACAAGACAAAGAUCAUACAUUCUAUUUUGGCCUUCCGAGACUCCCGCAACCUGCAACACCUCCUCAUCAUCAUCAUUGAUAUGCAACCCCGCAAUCCCAUUUUCCAUUGACAGAUUCACACACACAACCAACAGCCUCCACAGAGAUCAUAUAAAAGACAAGAAAAAGACAACUCAAAAUCCUAAAGAGUCCAAAAACGAAAAAACACUAACAAAAUGAUAAGAAAAAACCCUAUAGACGUGCUACUUUAGAGCAGGCAGAGACGUGCCAUUAGGUAGAGUUUAAUUAUUUUAUUUAUAAUUAUUUGAAAAUUUAUGUCCAAGAUGUCCAGGUUGCCCAUGUUCAAAUGAACCUAGACAACCAUUUGUUCAAGUUUAUCUUAGAUGUGGUUUUUUAAAUAAUUAUAAAAUACAUUUAUUUCAAAAAAAUUUUAAAUAUUCCCACAUCAACAUGGGAAACACAUGGCAUGCCACAUGUCACUAUCUGAUUGCUCUAUCAGCCGCGUCAACACUUACUAGUAGAAAUGGAUAAACUUUUUAAUAAAAUGACCAAUUCGCUCUUUGAUCUAACGUAUAAAGACUAAUUAGUCCAAUUUUUUAAUAGAGGAGGCAAAUGCAAUUCAAUUCCUAGUAUAGGGGCCUCCAUGAUACUUUUACUUUUUUGUUCAAAUAAAAAAUUAAUUUUACCUUGAGUAUUACUUUCCACGUCAUUGUUUAAGGGUGAAUUUUGUACAAAAGAAUCAAUUUGCACCUUUUUUUUCCUUAAAGUAUUGGGGUUAAUUUGUUUAUUUUUUUAUAGAGGGACAAAAUAUAAUCUAACUUCUAGUACAAGAGUUUCAAUGAUACUUUUACCCUUAUGUUCAAUUCUUGUUUUCUUUAAAGUUGCAAUAAUUCAAUUCUUCAAGAUUCAGGUGUUCCUCUUCAAAUUUCAAUAUAUUAGGCUUUAAUAAUCUUAGAGAGUUUAAAGUCGUUAGAUUGCUUUUUGAAAUCAAUUGAACUUGAAAUAAAGUCAGUACAUAGAAAUGGAAAGCUUAACUUUAUUCAAAGUUUGUUGCCAUGUGAGAUAGAACGAAAAUUAUAAGCCCAUAAAAGAAAAAAAAACGGAGAAGAAAUAAUAAAACCAAAUGUUGUGAAUGCAGUUUAGACAUAAUGGUCCUACAUUUGUAGAACUUCGUUCAAGAUAUAAUAUUAUUCAAUCAACCAACCGGUCAACACACUUCUAUCGGCUAAAACCCUGAAACUCCCUCUACAAGUAAAGCUCAUAUGGCCUCAAUAGAGAGCAACGAUACAAUUGGCAUACACCUAAUAUUACUCUAAUACCAGAGAUUUCUUCAAAUAUGAAAAUCUCAAUACAAAGAAAACUUAGAGCAAGAUUAUUUGAUUUCCCAGCAUUCAAAGUCACACACCCGCAUCAAGAAAAUAAGUCUCCUUUAUAUAAAGUCAACCAGCAAGUUAAAAGAUCUUGAUAAGUCUGUUGAAUCAAAGCUUCACAUUCAAAGGGCAACCAAUAAUGAUAAAUCACCCAUCUUUAUCUAAUAGAUUGCUCAUGAUCACUUAUCCAUUAGAUUAAAGAGAUGAUGGAAGACACAAAAUUUCCCAUAUCAAGGUAACUGAAUGAAAGUUUUACUCUCUUGAUUUGUCAAAGAUGCCACUCGAUCUUUUUAGCUAAAAAAUAACGUGUUCGACCAGCCCAAAGAAAACAUGUCUUCAUUCGAAAAUAACAUGGAACCAGCAAAACAAAAG